RNAcentral lists this long non-coding RNA (86640 nucleotides) under Triticum aestivum (bread wheat). RNAcentral's name for it is "long non-coding RNA (TAES_LNC017713)". The record is from RNAcentral. Lineage: Eukaryota; Viridiplantae; Streptophyta; Magnoliopsida; Poales; Poaceae.
GGGAGCCCGUAGCUGCACUGACUAGUUACAGUAAUUCUUUUGUUGGUUAGGCGGUUCUUGGCAAUGGCAGCGCUGCGGCUGCCGUUGCCGUCGGCUGUACAGGGCGGCGAGGGGGGAAGGAAGGGAGGAUCGCCGGCGAUUGCUGCGCGAGGAGGAGGGAGGAGAGUGGUGGAUAGAGAAAAAAAGAAGAGCUUGUUCUUUUUGGUAGAAAAUCAGAUUGGUUAUGUGGGGGGAUUUGGAUUCUUUUUGCUCGAGGUGGACAUUCUAGGGGGUUGCCAAUUCGCUGGAUUGGUGGCGAUGUACAAUUCGUUGAUAGUGCUAGGAAAGACUGGGAUUUUGUUCUGUUGUUAUUGACGAUUCUUUCAUUCAUAAUAAGACUAUGUGUUCUUGAUCUGAAACUCUGGUCUCUGCAUUUUUGGGUUGCGUCAAAUUCAGUUGAAUUGAGUGGAUUCUCACUGUAUGUUGUAUCUGGUUCUGAUGUGGUUUCUCCUUGGAAGGCUUACACUAUCGCUCGAAUGUCAAUCUGAUGAAGAACAUAGCUGAGUUCUGCAUUUUUGUAGAAUUCAGAACCAGGGCAACCAUGUCCUUCAGAUUGAUGGAGGCAUGGGCUGAAAUGUUGAACUGAAAAAGAGCAAUUUUCGCCGGCAAAAUUGGCUGUUCCUGAUGUACUACAUUCUCCUGUGAUUGCACAAUUCCUCUGUUAUACUACAACUCUGUUCAUUAUUUCUCUUCUGCAGGAAAUCAAUACUACACACAAGGGGCUUGUGACUGGGGAGGUUCAAAGUUUCUCUUCAAAAUCCCCUGUGCCCAAUCAAUUUCCCGCCUGGUUUAGUGCUACUAUUUGAACUGCCCAUCAACUACAUUUGUUCUUGAGCAACACAUCUCUAAACAAGUGAACAUAUCAUAAUUUAGGAUGUCAAAUCAUUUUGCUUGCACCACAAUCAAAGUGGCUAUUUGCUGUUUAACUUAUCCGCUCGCCAGCUAGCCCAGGCCACUAGUACAAUCAUCCCAACUGAUGAGGAGCUCCUGCUAGCUCAUAGCCGAAGCCUUGAAGCACCUCCAACCAAAUGGAAGACUCCCAUAGCUCCUCCAUAGUUUAUGCACACAUGUCAAAGCUCACCCACCUUUACACAAGCACAAGAAAGGUCCAGCCAGGAGGCAGCCAGCCAAUGAUGAGCUAGGGGAGCUGCAACUGCAAGUCUAGUGCAGUUUCCAGUGCAGCUAAUCAUCGGUGUCUUCUAAUCUUGCUUCCUCCUCUCGCUUUGCCUUUUGGCCUCCUCCGUGCUGUGCACUUUGUUUGAAAUGUGAUGAAUCGUGAACUCCUCCCCUCUCUCGUCUCCACCAACCGGGCAUCAUCGGCCACCCCCCCUUUUUGAUAGCCCUGCAUGAUUGAUUAUAAAGGAAAAGGAGAGAAAAGCCAUUGUUCUUGGGAAAUCCGGUACCUGCAAUGAUGGUGCAUUUCGUGGUGGCGUUGUAGGAACACGUCGUUUUCGCCUAGUGCUGUUUUCAUGUGAGAGAUGCUUUCUGGCCGGCGAUCCAUGAACCAUCCGCCUACUGACGAAGGAACUGGAUCCGAUCCGUUCUGACCUCCGAUCAGAAACAUCGACCGUCGCAGCGGUCGGUAGCAUCUCCUUUUCGAGACGAGAAAUUAGGCGGUGGCGUAUCUGUCCAGAAUCUAACGGCGAGCGGAGGCCGUCGUCGGCGCAAAAGUUACUGCGGUGAUCCGAGUGGAGGGUGGGCACUGUUCCUACUAUCGGACCAUGGACUGUGGCAGCGGCCGGAUUUGGCCGCCAUUACUGGCGUUGGUGCCUCCAUUAUUGAUGGUGGCCACCGGAUUCAGGUGGUGCGGCAGGCGGCAGGAGGUACACGCGCGCAGUAAACUCGGUCGAUGGCCGACGGAGGGAGGGGAGGGGAGGGGAGGGGGAGGGCCGUCGGCGCGCGGCGACGGCUUCGGAUUCGGCGGCAUGUCGUAAUGGCACGGGCUGGUGCUGGACCGGGAGUGCCUGUCCUCUUGCGGAAGCGAGCUGCCGUCUGCGCUGAAAUCAAAUCGUCGUCGUAAUGGAACGUGGCAGCGCUGGGUUACGUCCCAAGAUUUACUGGGAGGUGGCCGUGGUGAAGAAUGGAUCGACUGUUCACGCCUUCCUUUAAUUUGUAGGAACUUUGUAGGAAUUCUAUAGGAUAGGAUUUGCAAAGAAAAAAUUCGCGCUUUGGUUUGUAGAAACGGAUUCCUAUGGAUAGGAAUUAGUCCUUCACAUUUUGAAGGAAAAAAAAACAUUAAUCUAGAGUCAAUGAAAAAAUACUAUCCUAUACACCAAAUGACAUCUCUUUCUCUUUAGGAAUUGAGAUGCAUGUCACCUCACUUUCUGUGAUUUUUUCUAUUCCUAUAAAAUUCUUAUCCUAUGAAUCAAAGAAGGCCUCUGUUCUGAGAGUAAAAGAUGCGCAACGAAAUUUGCGCCAGGUCAAAUUUGGUACUACUCUCUCCAUUCCAAAAUAUAGUGCAUCUUUGGUUCCCGUGCUUCAACUUUGACUAUAAAUUUAACCAACUAUGUCCAUCGGAGGGAGUACUGUAGUAAUGCGCAAAAGAAAAACCGGAGUGUAUCUGUUUGGAAUUACCCGUCCAAGAAAUGAAUGUAUUUAGAUGUAUUUUAAUUGUAGAUACAUCCAUUUUUGUGACAAGUAAUUUCAUACGGUCAAGUUUCUUUGAAAGCACGCAAGCACAUAAACCUUUGUGAAAAUGUCCAAGCCUCAAACACGCACUCUUGCAUGUACAUUUGCCCGCUGAAUUUUGUUGCUGAAAAAUCGUUGUGUUGUUCUGCUAGAAAGAGAGGUUUCAUUUCAUCGGGCAUGAUCCACACCACACUAGAACUGCCCCAGACUAGCAGCUACGUCCAUCGGACCACUCUAGCCAACACAUACACACGGUGCGUUGGUUUGUGGGGAUUCAGAUCAGACCAUACUUUUGCUAACUCGUGACUGACCCUAUUUUGAGUGCGACGAAUCUUUACGAGCUUUAUCCUUUUUCAUGAGUGAAUCCACUUGCCUCCUGGCUUCUGGAACAAGGACGCAUUGCAUUGUGCGUCGUCAUGUCCCUCUCCAACAAUGCAGCAGAGAUGAGAUCAUUGUCAACGCCAUGGAGCAACCUGAACAGCAGAGACUUGCUCUGCUUCUUUGAUGGUCAGACAUUCUGAUAGUGUGGCGAAAUGAACAUGUGAUGUGCGGGUUAGUGGCGAAAGAAAAGUAGGAGUCCGUGGCGCCUGAAGUGUUCGGCCGGCCGGCCGGCUCUGCCUCCCUGAAACGAGUUUCAAAAGGAGGAAGGGGUCCUUCAGAAUUUGGUCGCGCCUGAAGAAGUGUUCGGCCAGCCGGCCGGCUCCGUCUCCCUGAAGUGCCCACAUCGGCACUGCUCUUUUUUUUCGAGGGAGACAUCGGCACUGCUAAUGUCCAAUAGUGAUAGGUCGUUAGUGUUACUAAUACAGCAGUAAAAGAUGUACAGCUGAUGCACGUAUUUGCUUUUUUAUGAUUUUUUUUUUUGUAAAAUGCAGAGAUACAUAUAAGCCAUAACCUCAAGUACACAUUGUAGCAUGUGCAUUUGCUUUAUGAUAAAAAUGUACUACAAAACAAUCAUGAAAAACUACCCUACAUUGGUUUUGGCUAGCAAACUUCGCAAAUUCAUCUUUUUUCCGAAACGGAGGAUAACCCCCGCCUUUGCAUGCGCUGAACGAUGCAUACAACCAUGUUUAUUAAAUUAUUCAACAUGGACUGACAAUAUAAAUACAAGGAUCAAUACAAAGCCAUCUUUCUGGUGACCUAUGUCGCUACACUUACAUGCUUGACGAUGUGCCUUGACCGCAUCAAUGCACACCAUCUAAUCCGGUGGCUUCACAAAGUUGCCGUUGGUGCGAGCCGAGAGCACCAACCGAUCUAGCAGACCCACAACGUGCACCGCAUGCGCGCGCUCUAGGAUCGUGCGCCGUCGUCUCUUUUUGAAUUCAUGACUAGCCCUAUUUUGAGUGCGAUGAGCCUUGAGGAAUCAGUAGCUUUAUCUCUUUUUGCAGAGCCGCUCGACUCUUGGCUUCUAGAACAAGCACGGAGUGCCUCGUCAAUCGUCCUGUCCUUCUCCGGAUCAGAUAUCAUUGUCAACACCAUGGCCCAUGGAACAUUUCUCACAUCAAGGAUCACCGGUGAAGUCGUCUACUGAUCAGUGCUCCCACACGUGUGGAAAGCUCGACCUGUAAGAGGAACAUGUCAUGUGCAGAGUAAGUGGACACAGAGGGGAUGAUUAAAGGUGUAAGUGGAACGACUUGCGAAAGGAAGAGAAAAUUCUUCAGAAUUCGGUGGUGCCUGAAGUAUUCGGCCGGCCGGCCGGCUCCGCUGUCCUAAAAGGCGCACGUAAUAAGCCGUGCUAAUGUCUGGUAGUGAUGAGCCGUUAGUAUUUGAUUUGAAGGCCAUGCAGCACUCGUUGUAGUGCAUAUUUUUUCGAUAAAGAACAUUUCAUUCAAUUGAUAUAUCGAGGCGAUACAACCAUAUUGAAGAAUGCCCGGCCUCUGCAUAGCGCGAUGCACACAGCCAACAUGUCCAACAAGCCUAAAAAUAAAUAUCGUUUUGCAGCAAAAGUAAAUCGGUCCAGCCUAGGGUGGGGCAACUCCUAUCUGGAGAUUACACCGCCAUCCAUGUUGGGAGAAAACCUCCCUGGUUGUAUGCUCCAGCCGUGUAGACGCCAUCAUAAAAAUGUCUCUGUCCUCCGGCCUCUGCAUGAUAGACCAUGUACGGAGCCAUCGCGUACACACAUGGAUAACCUGCACAGGAGAUGAAACACAUUUAUUAUUAAAAAUCACAUCAUUUCUGGUAAGCCACAGUGCCCAACAUAAGGCAGCCGCUCCCACGAGUAGAUGUGCAGAAAAUUGUUUAUCGAUACCCGCAACCAAUUGCCGAACAUGUUACGCGCACAACGUGGGGGAUAUAGAUUUGAAGCUACUUGAACUAUGGCCCAGACUACAUGAGUAAACUUACACUCAAAAAAUAAGUGUUUGAUGGACUCGUCAUGUUGGCAAAAGACACAUGUCUUGCUACCUUACCAGUGGCGUCGUGCCAAGUUAUCUCUAGUUAAGAUGAUCCCUUUGUUUAGAAACCAGAGAAAUAUCUUCACUCUUAGGGGAAUUCUGAGCUUCCACAAUUUCUUGUUAUCACCGGUACAUCAGUGUGGGUCAUUGCAUCAUACAAGGAUUUGACUGAAAAGGUAUCAUUCUGAUGCAAAUUUCAUCGGAACUUGUCUGGUUCGCCUGACAGCUAAAUGGCCUCCGGACGAUUGAGUAAUUCAUUCCAUGCUACCAGACGAGGCCCAAUAAGGUCCAUAAGGAAAGAAAUAUCAGGGUUUUCUUGUCCCAAUGCUUGUUUGAUCGACGGUCCUAUACAAGCUAGGGUAUUGCACCAUAAGUGGAGUGGCCCCAGCCAGGUGUCUUCCCAGAAUCGAACCUGAGAACCAUCCCUAACCGAGAAAGUACCAAAUUGAAAAAAGAAUUCCUUGGCCUUCAUCACGCCACUCCAAAAAUGUGAAUCACCGGGUUUCCAAUUAACCUGAGAAAUGGCUUUAGACCCCACAUACUUGUUAGGAAUGAUUUUCUGCCAUACUCCAUUCUCAGUGAGUAGUUUGUAUACCCAUUUACUCAAGAGAGCGAUGUUUUUAAUCUCAAGAUCCUGAAUUCCAAGGCCCCCUUGACUUUUAGGUCGGCAUAAUAUACUCCACCUAGCCAGCCGAUAUUUCUUGGAUUCAUUAUCACACUGCCAAAAAAAUCUGGAUCUAAAAUAAUCGAGACACUGUAGAACCCCUUUAGGUAAGUGGAAGAAUGACAACAUGUAUAGAACCAUGUUGCUGAGGACGAAAUUAAUCAGAAUCAACCGUCCCCCAUACGACAAGAGUUUGGCCUUCCAGCUGGCUAGGCGUUUCUCAAGUCUUUCUUCCACGUGCUUCCACUCAGCGAUAGUUAAAUGCUGAUAGUGAAUAGGAAUACCUAGAUACCUAAUCGGGAACUGGCCGAGCUGAUAGCCGAAAAUCCCAGCAUACUCAGAUGCGUACUCUGCAGCAUCGCCGAAGCAGAAAAGCUCGCUCUUAUGGAAGUUAAUUUUGAGACCAGAGAGCUCCUCAAAUGCACAUAAAAGUAAUUUGAGGUUUCUAGCUUUAUCUAGGUCAUGAUCUAGAAAAAGUAUAGUGUCAUCCGCAUAUUGUAGAAUAGACAGUUCUUCUUCUACCAGAUGAGGGAUCACGCCACUAAAUUGGCCGGCCACCUUAGCCCGCUCAACAAGGGUAGCUAACAUAUCAGCUACAAUGUUGAACAAAAUAUGGGAAGCAGGGUCCCCUUGGCGAAGCCCCUUCCUAGUCUGAAAGUAGUUGCCAACAUCAUCGUUGAUUUUGAUAGCCACACUACCUCCAGAAACAAAACUCUCUACCCAUCGACACCAUUUUGGUGAAAACCCCUUCACGCGCAAAGUUUGCAAAAGAAAGGGCCAUUUGACUUUGUCAUAUGCUUUUUCGAAGUUUAUUUUGAAGAUGACUCCAUUCAACUUUUUACGGUGGAGCUCAUGCACAGUUUCAUGCAGCACAACAACUCCAUCUAGUAUGUUGCGUCCUUGCAUAAACGCUGUUUGAGUGGGUUUGACCACGUGGUCAGCCACCCCGUUCAACCUAUUAGUUGCCACCUUUGUGAAUAUCUUAAAGCUGACAUUUAGAAGGCAAAUCGGUCUAUAUUGUUGAAUACGACUAGCCUCCUUAGUCUUGGGCAGAAGAAUAAUUUCCCCAAAGUUUAAACGGGCAAUAUCAAGGUUUUCAGCAUGCAGUUGGUUAAACAACUGAACCAAAUCCCCCUUAAUUAUAUCCCAAAAACAUUGAUAAAACUCUGUCGGAAAACCAUCUGGUCCCGGAGCCUUGUUGUGUUCCAUUUGAAACACCGCGGCUCGAACUUCCUCUUCAGAGAACGGAGAGGUUAAAAACUCAUUUUCUGCCUCUGAAACUUGAGGUAUAUCAUGAGUAAUAGACUCGUCGAGCGCAAAAGGGCUUUGAGGUGAAGGUCCAGAAAGCUCUUUGUAGUACUUAGUAAUGAAAUUUUUUAGCGGUGCAUUCCCCUCUAUACGGUCUUCGUCUUGGUCAAGAGCGAAAAUACGUUUCUUUCUAUGUCUGCCAUUGGCCAGUAUUUGAAAGUACUUCAUAUUAUCAUCAGCUUGAACAAGCAAGUCGGGGUAACACACCCACACUUUCUUAACCAGGUCAUGGAAUCCCUCUCUAGUGAGCCAUCCCAGUUCAAAUUUAAACUGUGGACGGUUAGAGCUUGGAGUUGUUUGUCCAAAAUCAGUUAGCAAAGGAGCAUGAUCCGAUAGUGCCUCGAUUCUUUCUAGUGCGUGUACCGAUGCAAGGGGAUAUUUAUAUUCCCAGUCGAUGGUCACUAGCACCCGGUCAAGUUUUUCAUAAGUAGGGAUUGAUCGGGCCCAGGCGUACUGACGACCAGACAAAGUGAGCUCCCGCAGGUCUAGGCUGUCAAUAAAGAGCAUUGAAGAGGAAAGGCCAACCUAGUGUCAAACUGGUCAUUGUUUUUUUCCUGUUGAUAUCUAAGGAUAUUAAAAUCCCCCCGGUUAACAUGGGAUGGGGAUUGUCCCGACAGGUAUUAACAAGCUCUUUAAGUAGAGCGGACUUAAACUCCUCUUGAGCAGCGCCAUAUACAGCCACUAGACUCCAAACAAAGUUGUCGGACUUGUUUUGAAGGUGAAAUUUGAUGUGAUAUUCACCCUUCGAAGUGGAUAAAAGUUCCAAGCAUGUCGAGUGGACGCCAAGCAAGAUUCCACCAGACCCCGGAUGGGGGUAAAACGUGCCAUUCAUAAUCAUAACCACAUAAAAAGUGGUGAAGAACACGUGUCUGGAAAUCACGUUUACCUGACUCAGUGAUGGCCACAAAGUCCAAGGCACGAUCCUUUACAUAAUCGGCAAUGUGUUUGUGUUUAGCCAAGUCAGCAAGACCUCUACUAUUCCAAAACACACCUCUCAUGAUGAACCAUUUUUAUGUUUAGGUACCUUUGCCCUCUGGCAUCCUCUUUUCUUCUCUGAAGUAGACUUGUUUUUUCGUACCGACGCGACAAGCUCACAUAGCAUGUUGUCGUGUACAGUAUCCUUCAAGUCUAUUUUGGUUGUGUCUUUAACUAGAUGGGAGAGAAGCUUGCCAUCAUGAUCGGCAUCAGCAUCCACAUCCUCCUCAUCCGACACGAGAAGAUCAAAAAAAGUAGGCAACCUAGGAGCAACCUUAAGCCGGUCGAACUCCAUUUGUUUAAGGGCCCUAACAGAAACUCUCUUUCUCAUUAUGUCCUAACAAACACCCAAGCUAGCAAUAUUUGCAGAAACUCUAGAGUUAUCGAAGGACAAAAAAGAUUUGUGGAAGGAAGUACCUUCAUAGUCGAGGUUGCGAGCUGUCGUCCUAGUGCAUAUACAUUGGAGAAAAUAAUGUGGCAUCGUUGUCUGAUGCUUCUUAGCUUGCUCUGUCUGGAUUGGGCGUGGUUUCAAGAGCCAGCACCAUAGCUCCAGAUGGCACACCGGCCGCAACGUUGCGAGCACAUCGGAGCAUCAGGAUUGGUUAAGGCCGGCGGAGGCAGUGGUUACGGACACCAUCUAGGGAACCAGCGUACGUACAAAAUUUGUAGAGAAAAAUCAAUUAUGCAAUGAGUGGGCCGGCCUGCUCAGAACCGAUGCAGGCGAGCGAUACCUAUUGCUCAUUAUGGGCGAUGUUUAUUUAACAAUUGUGCGUGUUUCUGGACUACGCCUCAUCCAGUACGAGGGAUGACUGCAGGCUUACAGCUGCUAGUUUUGCGAAUGCGUGCUUCUAGAUUCGAGCACACGUGCACAUGGUAUGGACAGUGAAAUAGAAAAAAAAAUCUUUUUACAACAAUAUUGCUUAGUUUUCUGUCUAUGCCAUUUUUUGGUGAUUAAUUGGCAUUCAUGGAUCUGUGAGAGAAAAAAAAUCAGUAUUUUAAAAUGCUUUCAAAAACAAUAUUUUUGAAGCACCAAUUUUGGUUUUUGUCAUUCAAUAAUGUAAUUUUGCAUGCAUGUGAAACAGUCCUCAAUGUUUAUCUAAAAAUUGUUCAGAUUUUCAAUUUUUUACUAUUUUUUUAUUUUAUUGUUCAUCAUGCACAUGGGAUUAUCAGAAAUUCCAUGUCCAUGGUGUAGUUUUGGAACUUUAGACCUUUGCCGAUCGACAUUUUAGCAUGCCUUGGGCCUUCUGUUUCUUCUUUGUCGAAGGCAAGUGUGAAUUCGCUCUCAGGAGCUCCUAUUGGACGCUCGACGGUUCCACGCUCAGGAGGCAGCCCCACUGGGUUGCCCCAUUGUUGCACGCGGAAAUAGGGUAAAGUUCGCGCUAGUGGUUUUGGAACUUUAGACCGGGAGCACCUAUACGGCGACUCGCGCACUGGGAAAGAAGGCAGCACCCGCCCCCUGGCUUCCACGCGCGACCUUGGGCCAGCCCAGAUGCGUGACAGGGCUCCCCUAUUAUUUUUUGCUUCUUUAAGAAAGUUCGGCAUUUGAAAAAAAUUUAGAACUUAAAAUAAUGUUCACUAAUGCAAAAAAAUUCAUGGAUUCAAAAAUAUUCACAAUUUUAUAAAAGAAUUUUUUUUAUUUUUUAUGGACAUUUUUUCUAUUUUAAUCAACAAAAUUUGAAGUUUGGAUCAACAUUGUUUGAAUUUUGAUGUAAAAAAUUUGAAUUUUGGGUGAACAUUUUAUGAAUUUCAAUGAACAUUUUUCUGAAACUAUUGAACAAAUAUUAUAAUAAAUGAACUUUUUAAAAAUUGAUGAACAAAGUUUGAAUUCGACAAACCUUUUUUUAAUAUGGUGAUAGUUUAAAAAUUCAUGAACAUUUUAAAAUUUUGAUGAACAUUUUUUAAUUUUUAUGACCAAAUUUUGAAUUCAGUGAACAAAAAUUGAAUUCCAAAAAUGUUCACUGAUUUGAAAAUAUGUUUGAAUUUCAUAACAUAUUCACUGAGAGAAAAUAUGUUUUUUUUUGGAAAGAAAAAACGAAAAAUAAAAAACCAAGAAAAAGGAAAAGAAAAAAAGAAAAGAAAACCGAAAAUUAAAAGAGAAAGAUAAGACAAGAAGAAAAAAAAUCAUGUUUGCGAAAGUUCUAGAACUAGAACCUUCCCAAAACCGGAAACGGCCGCCUACACAUCGUGAAGCGGCGGUGCGCGCGCGGUCGCUGGGAUAUUGACCCGUGCGAUCUGCCCUUUAGACCUAUGCUGAUUGGCGAAUAGGAAAAUUCCUUCAAAAAGUCAGUUUGAGCAGUAGCGUUACCUAUCGGCAAGGAUCUCGUCUUUAAGAUCCGAGCCAAGCACAACUAUUUUUCCAACCUUUCUACUAUACAAAAUUGAAUACUAGACCUAAUACAUCUAUAGAUCCCAACAUAGAAUGGCAGCAUUGUCAGCGCCCACUCUCUCUCUCUCUCUCUCUCUCUCUCUCUCUCUCUCUCUCUUACACAUCAAUCCACCAUUUUAUUUCACCUUGACUAAACUAAAUAAUUUAUACCAUUUGAAAUACAAGUUCAUUUUUGAAAUAAUUUAUAUAUUUGAACUCCUAGCACCAAGACCUUUAGAACGAAACCAAUAUUGGAUACAUUUCAAGCACGUUUAAUUUUCAACAUUUCACAUUUCAUAUAUUGAACAAACCUAUUUCACUAGAAAAAAAAUUGUGAAACAAACUUUUUCAGUAGAAAUAUGUGAAACAAACCCAUUUCACUAGAAAUCUAUUUAACCCAAUUAUAUUUCAAAUACGUGAAACAAACAUUUUCCACACAAACUAAAAAUGUGCAAUUGAAAUAUAUGUGAUUUUAUGAAACCGACUGUUUUACAAAUGUGUAACAAUUUAUUUCAAAAGAGUGAAAUAUGUUAUUUCAAAAAUGUGUAAUUGAAAUAUAUGUGAUUUUUGUGAAAUAAGUUAGUGGAAAGUGAAGUGUAGGUUCUGAAUUGUGAAAUAGUUACUACAGAAAGUGAAAUUUAAAUGCAUCAUUGUGAAACUGAUUAUUUGGAAAUGUGCAACAGUUUAUUUCAAAAGAGUGAAAUAUCUUACUUAAAAAAUGUGCAUUAAAAAGGAUGUAUUUUUUGUGAAACAAGCCAGUGAAAAGUGAAAUAUAGGUUCUGAAUAGUGAAAGAGUAACUACAGAAAGUGAAAUUAUAAUGUAUCAUUGUGAAAUUGAUUAUUUCAAAAUGUGAAACAUGCGCUUGAAUUUAAACAUGGUUGAAAAAUAUCCAAGAUUGAUCUCAUUUUAAGGUUUUAAUGCAAGGAGUUCAAAUGUGAAAAAAGUUUCAAAAACUAAUACAUGGUUUAAAAGAUAUGGAUGCUUGAAAUUAGAUAAAGUGAAAGAAAUGAUUGAAUUUAUUGUGUGGGAGAAGAGAGAGAGUGCUCUGCCACAUUGCUGCCAAUAUUCUUUAAACAUGGGAAAAAAUAUAUAACAAAGAAAGAGAAUAUAUGCAGUUAAAUGGCACUAGCUGAUUGGCUAGAGCGUUGCCGGUACCGGUAGUAACCGCGCAAUUUUUCAGUUUAGAAAUUCCUUCGCUUUCUUCUGUUACCGCCAACCGUUCUGGGCCUGGCCCAGCUGAAACCUCGACCGAAAAGGUUCGAUACGAUCUCGACCCGGGUUUCGCCUCUGGCUUUAUAUAGAUAGACACGACUCACCGCCAUCGGUAUCUUACAACAAUUCCCGAAUCCAUCGCACGACCACAGUCGAUCGUCGGCAAAGAGGGAUCCACCAGGCGCUGGCGACGCGCAGCCGAGCCGAACGGCCGGGAGGGUGAUUUUUCGCCUCGGCGGUGCACGAUCGGCCAGGAGGGCAUUUUUUCGCGGGGUGGGUGCACCACCACCAAACCAAACCCAUGUCGGCGGCGGCGGCGGCCACCGGCGAGGAGAUUCCACCGAAGGGCAAAAGGAAGCUGGCGGCGAUCGAGGAGAAGCCGCGCCGGCAUUGGGCGGACCCGCUCCCGAAGCCCGGUACCACGACUGAAGAUGCAGAGCUGCGGAGGAGGAUCAAGACGGCGCUUCUGGGCUUCCCGGGGUCUGGAGCGUUGAGCGCAGCCGAGUUGGAGCUAUCGAUUGAUAGAAUCAUGAAGGAGUCCAAGCCCGAGACCAGGUCUGUGGCCGCCCCAGGCAUGGUCCGGUUCUCGAAUGAAGAGAUCCGUAUCUGGUUGUCCAUGAUGAAGACCCCCACCGUCGAUGAUAUCCUCGGCGUUGAAGCUGGCGGGGUGUUCCCGCCGGGUUGGAUCCACCAGAGAGCUAUAUUAUUGGAUAAGCAAUGCCAACGAAAGACGGAGGGUGGCGAAAUAAUCUUGGUGGACAAGAUCCGCAUCGAUUUGAUCACAAAGGGCUACGUUGAGUUCCGGGAGGAGUACAUGAGCCCUGACUCGGACGCGGACGAUGAAUGCUACGAAUCUGAGGAGGAAGUGACUUCUGUCCUCCGGAAGGAAUAAAUGAAAAGAUGUUGUGCGGUACUGCCGUUGUUCUGAGAAGAUUUGGCUCGAUGAAUCCAACCAAGGGGAACCGCUUUGUCAACCCUAACUUAUAUAGAUAUAAUUACAGUUUUGCUAGAGCAUAUCUAGAUGUGCCAUAAAUAUUGCACAUCUAAGAGCAUCUCCAGCCGCGCCCCCAACAGACCCUCCCCAGGCGUUUUUGCCGCGCCGGCGCCGAAAAAACGGCCCAGUCGCCCCCCGAGAAGCCCGUUUUUCGCCGGCUCGGGCCGAAUCUGGUGCCGGCGGACCCAGGCAGAACCCGGCGCCCUGGGGGGCCUGGGGCGCCGGCACAAGCGAAAAGGCGCGCGUGGGUCCGCCCUAUCGGCGAGUCGAGCGCCUCUUUCCGCCGUUUCUCCCCGCUUUUCCCCAGUCCCCUCUCAUUUUCUCCUUUCCUCCCGCCAUUCUCUCUCCCGCUCGCCUCCCAGCCGGCCGCCAUGGCACCGAAGAAGUACGCCGUCCCCUGCGCCGGGGCAACCGCGACCGCCUCCGUCGCCCAGCCGAAGCAGAGGAAGCCGAGGGCGCCGCCGUCCAAGCCGCCGGGCAUGACAAACGCUGAUUGGAGGGUAGAAGUACAGCGACGGGAGGCCGUCACCGCCGACCGGCGGAACAGGGCCCUCGCCAAGAAGGCCCGUGACAACGCGGCACGCGCGGCUGCGGGUGCCGCUGCCGCUGCCGCUUCCGCGGACCAGGCCGAGGCCGAGGCGGCACGCGCGGGGAUGAUGAAUCUCCCCGGCAACCACGCGCCGUACGCGCCCUGGGGCCAGCAAGGUGUCGGGUCUCCGACGCCGCAGCCAUGGGGAUCGCCGGGCUACGCCGACGGGGACGUGCACGGUGGGUUCAACCCAAAUGUCACGUUCCCCCAUGGACACCCGGCCCAGCGCACGCCCUCGCCCGCCUUCACCGGCGUGCAGUACCCUCCAUACAACUACUCGCCGCCCGCGUACGCGUCCUCCCCGACGCCCCCUCUCCGCCGUUGCGCACUGCCCUUCUCGCACCUCGGCGACGCCGACGAGACCGAGACCGACAUGGAUGACAUCAUCGCGGAAGGAUCGGCCGCGGCCGCCGCGUCUCCCGGGUUCACCGCGGAUGAAGCGGUGGAUCUCAGCGGCGGCAUGGACGGCGAGCUCGGCUACGUCUACGGCGACGAGGAGCAGGAGGAAGAGGACGAGGAGGAGCCGGCGAGGAGGCGCAAGAAGAAGAAGCGGACGGCCAGGUCAGCCGAGCCGCGCAUCAAGUGGGCGUCCAAGGAGGAGGAAUGCCUCGCCGAGGCAUGGAAAGUCGUCUGCCUCGACCCGACCACCGGCGCGAACCAGAGCAUCGACACGUACUGGGCGCGCAUCAAGGCCGAGUUCGACGAGCGCAAACUCGUCGACCCCUACUUCAAAGGCGUCUACAUGCAGCGCGGGUCGAAGGCGAUGGCGAACCAUUGGGGGCGCAUCCAGGGGGCGUGCAACAAAUGACAUGGUGUCGUCGAGGAGGUGGCCGCUCGCCCGGAGAGCGGCGCCAGCAUUGAGGAUCAGGUAUGCCACGCGGUCUCCCGUCUCUCUUCGCCGUGUGCGCCCGCCAACUGUUUGUUCGUCCCCGCGCAGUUGCUGCGCAUGUUCGGCCUGUAUAGGCAGAGCAACAACGACGCCGAGUUCAAGUACCUCCACGUUUACAAGCGCAUUGACAAAUGCGACAAGUGGGCGGAAGUCCGGCGCACCCUCGAGAAGGCCAAGGAGACAUACAAGCCGGACGCGCCGGCUCCGGGCGCGUCAGAAGGGCGGCCGGACGGCAACAAAGGUGCCAAGAAGGGGAAACACGCCGACGCGGCCACCGCUCGCGUGCAGGAAUCCAUCCAGCACUGCCUCGCCGACGCACAGGCCCGGGCCGUCCUUCAUGAAGAAAAUACCGAGGCGCGGUGGUCGGCGUUGACGUCGACAAGCGCCGUCAAGCUUGACCUACUCCGGACCAACGUCGCCGCGAAGAAGAGGAACACCGACCUGGCUUUCCUGCUGGGCGGGGCGGACAUGCUCCAGAGCACCGACGAGGCGGUCAAGGAGUGGUACAGGGCGCAUGUCGGCCUCAUCCUGGACUAGCUUCCCUCGACGACGCCGCCCACGCCCACGCCCACGACGACGCCGCCCACGCCCACGCGCACGCCGAUGCCGCCAACAAGCCCGACCGAUGAUGCCGCCGGGACUGCCCGCAGCGCAGAAGCCACGCCGCCAAGCAUAGAGACCCCGUCAAGCCCGCGCACGCCGACUCCGCCGACGCCGGAGGCCGACCUCGCCGUCUGAUGCGCGUUUCUGUUCUGAUUUUUGUACGCCGAACUUUUCAUCGAUCGCCGAUCAUCGCUUGAUCGCCGNNNNNNNNNNNNNNNNNNNNNNNNNNNNNNNNNNNNNNNNNNNNNNNNNNNNNNNNNNNNNNNNNNNNNNNNNNNNNNNNNNNNNNNNNNNNNNNNNNNNNNNNNNNNNNNNNNNNNNNNNNNNNNNNNNNNNNNNNNNNNNNNNNNNNNNNNNNNNNNNNNNNNNNNNNNNNNNNNNNNNNNNNNNNNNNNNNNNNNNNNNNNNNNNNNNNNNNNNNNNNNNNNNNNNNNNNNNNNNNNNNNNNNNNNNNNNNNNNNNNNNNNNNNNNNNNNNNNNNNNNNNNNNNNNNNNNNNNNNNNNNNNNNNNNNNNUGGGAGCUAGGCCGCCCCCCAGGGCCGAACUAGCGCCGGCUCGCCCCCAGGGCGCAGUUUUUCGGCGCCCUUGGGGGCCGAACGGCUGGAGAUGCUCUAAGUCCUAUAUCAUUGAUCUUACGCGAAGAUUCGUGUGGAUUUUUUUUCUAUGCUUGCUUGUGUCACUUAGAUGUGCAAUAACUAAGGCACAUCUAGAUGUGCCCUAGACAAACCCCACUCCCCCGUUUCUAAAUACUAGUAAGUGUGCACGUGCAAUGCAAUUCAAACCAUGGGAAUAAAACUUAGUGGGAUAUUUAAGUGAUGAGUUCAUAGUUCAAACGUGGGCAAGGGUUAUGUGGGUGUCAGGUUUGGCAAAAUAGUGUUUAAAAAAUGGUUUGGCAAAGCAGGAAGUGAUAUAUCCUAGUCUAUUAUAACGGUCAGGAAAAAUAAGAAACCAAUGAAAAAAGAACUUCAUAUUAAUAGGUAUUUCAUUAAUAUACAUAAUAUAGAUUACAUCAACCAUAGAGUUAUGAAUUUACAUUUCAUAUGAUACGUUUCCAUAGAAUUUACAUAUACAUGAAUAAAAGGUCGAAAAAAACAGAGGUGCAUCAUGUCAAAAACACAAGUGCUCGUCAUCGUUGCCUUGCUCUGCAACAAAUAAUAGUAAACAAAAUGAAAAACACCAUUCCGAUAUUUGAUUUUGAAACAGUGGGCAUAGGUACCUGUUCAUUCAGAAGAAUAUGAUACAAUUUAUUGCCUUGAUUGAUCACCUCAAUUUCUUAUUUCAACCUCCCUGUUAUAGUGAUGAUGUUCCUUGUACUUACCAUGUGACUGCUCAAUGCUUCUAAAAUCCCAACACAAUGAAGAGAAUGAAACCAAAAGCUAUGGACAAAAAGAAGUAGAGAACAAAUAUGUACGGUACUUCUUAAUAAGACAACAAAAUUUAUGAGGCCAGGUUUUAGAAAACAUUUUGAGAUAGAAUAUCAUUUUGGCAACCUUGUUCAUAUGUUUAGUACAGAGUAUGUACCUGAAACAGAUUGCCUUUCACCACACCUUUUUUCUCCAUCGAUGUGCUUCUCUGUAAAUGAAAGCCUCUGGACAAAACAGCACCCAUAUUUGAGAAGCAUGGAGGAUAGUUUCUGUAGAAAACACAAAAGGGGCAAUCUUAUUAUCACGGUUUCUAUUCGGAGUAUUGUGAUCAGUUAAAAUAACCAAUAGCAAAGCCUUUGUAGCGUACUACAGUAAGAAAAAACGUGGGGGCCAGGCCACGAGCUGGGAGAUGACAUUUGCGGGAGGCAAUGGAAAGCUCCAAGAUGAUCGCUUGCAGGAGGGCUGAAUCACAGCACUAAAACACUCCUUAGAUGAAUUACAUAUUAGAAGCAUUUUUAGAUAACAAAAGAACCCCUGUGGUUCUCUAGGAAUUUGGAACAUCAGCUUAUUAAUACCAAUUCGGCAACUACAAUCAGUUUAUUCUCUUGAAAUAUCCUCCCCUGUGGUUGGCUCAUACUGCCCAGCCAUAUUUUUAGAAAAUGAUGCUAAGUUCUGAAAUUAGCUACCACAUCUGGAAAUGCCAUCUUAUGGACUCUUGGAGUACAAUCCAAUUUCAAAUUAACCAACAACAGCUUAGGCAUUGAGUGACCAAUAACAAUUCGUGCAAGUAUUUUUAUAUUUCAUCAUAACAAUGACAGUGGAAAAGGUUCAGUUAAACAACUCUAGAGAUUUAUUUUUCUGCAAGGAAACAACUCACCUCUCCAAGAAGCAACCAUGUCGCCUCCUUGAAGUCCUCGAACUGCAGCCUCCACUUUGCCCAUAGAAGGAGCAGCAGCAGCAGCAGCGCCGUCUCGAAGACUUUUUUUUGGAAACUCGUCCCGAGCAUAAUCUAUAGUUUCACUCCUGCCCACACAUAGACUGACAUGCUCAACACACGUUAGUCUUGCUAAUCUACAGUUUCUGGCAAACGUGCGUUGAAUGAGUUUUCCGUACACUCGAAGAAAGCACUGAAAUUUCCAUGACUGGAUCACUAUCAUCUAAGGAGCAGGUUGCAAACUCGGUAGGACUGAAAAUAUCGUCCCCAGUCGAUAAUGUGAAUAGUUGACUGGAAAACCUGUACUGGACACGUGACAUGGUCUGAUGAGCAUUGCAAAUUUAAAGACAUUCUAGAAUAAUUGUAGCGGUGUCGAGAAGUGCCUAGUGCUCAUGAAUAGAACCCCAAACAUGAAGUAUAAAUAUCAAUAAUUUAGCAGAUAAAUUUAAGACAUAGAUGCUCCGAGUUUCUUCAUUUGUGAGAAAAAUGAUAUUGCAAGGUAGAUCAUUUUAUUGUACAGUAAGCUCUCGAAAAGCACCUAAAUUUCAGUGUACAAUCCGAAUUGCUAAGAAUACCUAUAAAAGUAUAGGCAUGGAGUGUUCAGAAUUGACAAGUGACACAGAUAAGAGUAAAUCAACGAAAUGGAAUGAUUAUCAUGCUGAACUUACCUGGAUUUCAUCAAAAAUGUUUCCCAAGGAUACCAGGACCCAGCUCAACUGAAAGGGGCUGCAUGUGCAUAUAUAGUAUACGUGUUAGAAGAGCAAACCGUAUCUGAAGGGAAGAAUAAAAAUUGUAAAAAUCGGAAUUGGAAAAUUCACAUUAAUAGUUUUGAUAGGUCACCACCGCAUAUUAUUGUUAUAUUCACACCAUUUGUUGUUUGUUCACUAUCAAAUAAGCUAAAUCUGACCAAAGGUAUUGAUCUGAUAGGAAAAAAGAGCCAGAUCUGCAAUGCUACAUGGCUAACAAGAUUAAGCUUAGAAUUGUGACUGUACAAUGCAAAUAACUUGAUAGAACUGUGCAAAACGACAUCCUAAUUCUAAAAUUUGUAACACUGCUUUUCCUUCUAGCAACUAAAAUCAACCAUGCGUAUUUAUUCAACCAUGAUAAACUUUCAGUCCUAAACAACAUUAUCCAUGCUGAAUCUGAAUCACAAACAUUGCAUGCAGAAAUUGACAGCACUACUCGAGUUCUCUUGCUUUCCUGAAUUUGACAGUACCUGAACAAAGCAAGCCGCACGCACAGCCUGCUGGCAGCCGCAGGCACGCACCUCACACACGCCGGCCAGCUGCGCGAUCCUCUGGCGGACAACACUCAUGCACAACACGCCGACAUCAUCACGCACGUAGCAGCGGAGCCCCAAAUCCGCCAGCCGCCGAGCGACCUAGCUGGCUCCGGCCCUGCACGCCCUAGUUGGCCCCGUUGUUGAGCGCCCUAGUUGUGGCCGCCGCACAGCACUGCGCUGCAACCACAAUGCGAACGCCUAGGCUGCCGCACGCCUCUUCUAGCCGGUCGUCGACGCACUGCCUGCCGCGCGCGGCAUUGCGCUGCCACCACAACGCGAACGCCCAGGCUGCCGCACGCAUCCUAUAGCCGCCCGUCAACGCACUGGCUGCCGCAUGCGCUAGAUGUCACCGCCGAGGCGCCGGGGAGGAGUGAAUGCAUUUGUGACCUGCCUCGAUCUGGUGCGCCCUCCGCUCAUCCUCGAACUCCCUCUUCGCCGCGCGCCAUGGCCAGCGGUCUAUCCCCGAGACCCCGACAAGCCGUCGCAUCCGAGAGAACCUCCACGCCCUCUUGAUCCUCCACGCCGAACGAAUCAAGUUGCGACGCCCUGCACAGAGCACACGGACGUCGUCUUCUCCGACACCAUCCGUAAGCCGCCGUCGUCGAUUCAUCGUGCUCCUCCUUCUCUGGUCUUGCCGACAGCACGAACCUCCUCAUGGUUAUCCCUGCCUCCUUUCCCCUCUCUCUUAGUCCUCGUCCUCGACAUCAACAUGUAGCCGCUGCCCCGCAAGCUCCGUCUCUGUUUGCCGCCAUGGCCGACGAACUCGGUUAUGUCAAGCCUCCCCUGGCCCGACGUGUUCCAGGGGCUACGUAGACACCGCCUAGAUGGCUAGCCGCUCCAUGAGCCAGCUCCCGACUCGUAUCGACGCCUACUCCCCAUGUCUGAUAGAGCUAUCAGGCGAGACCGCAGAGGAGCGGCAGACGAUUAUCUAUGAUACACGGCCGGCGGCUAGAGGUGUGUGGCGACGUCAUGUAGCGGCGCGGCAGCGAGGAUGGCAUGCGCCUGGUGGGGCCGCGACAGCGUCGGGUUGGGCGGCGUUCGCGAGAGGUGCCGGCUACGGGCGCGUGGUACUUCCUUUUUCUCGGGGAGAAGGAGGUGGGGAGCAUGCCCAUAAUUUUAGAAGUGACACGACGCCGGAUAACAGAGUUUUCGUCCGCUCGAAAAAAAUGCUAAACACACUAUGAACGUGGAUUGAUGGAAUAUUAACUCUUAGAUCAAAUUAAGUGAUUAGAUCGAGAGGCCGCAAUUCCUCCAUGUUGUUAUGUGUAGAUUAGGCUGGGUGCACUUAGUGAUGAAUAUGUUUGCUUGUUUAAUAGUAGUAUAGAAACCUCCUCAUGGUUAUCCCUGCCUCCUUUCCCCUCUCUCUUAGUCCUCAUCCUCGACAUCAACAUGUAGCCGCUGCCCCGCAAGCUCCGUCUCUGUUUGCCGCCAUGGCCGACGAACUCGGUUAUGUCAAGCCUCCCUUGCCCGUUUCUGUGGCCCGACGUGUUCCAGGGGCUACGUAGACACCGCCUAGACGGCUAGCCGCUCCAUGAGCCAGCUCCCGACUCGUAUCGACGCCUACUCCCCCAUGUCUGACAGAGCUAUCAGGCGAGACCGCAGAGGAGCGGCAGACGAUUAUCUGCGAUACACGGCCGGCGGCUAGAGGUGUGUGGCGACGUCAUGUAGCGGCGGGGCGGCGAGGAUGGCAUGCGCCUGGUGGGGCGGCGACAACGUCGGGUUGGGCGGCGUUCGCGAGAGGUGCGGGCUACGGGCGCGUGGUACUUCCUUUUUCUCGGGGAGAAGGAGGUGGGGAGCAGGCCCGUAAUUUUAGCAGUGACACGGCGUGGGGACGCCGAAUAACAGAGUUUUUGUCCGCCCGAAAAAAUGGUAAACACACUAUGAACCUGGAUUGGUGGAAUAUUAAAUCUUAGAUCAAAUUAAGUGAUUAGAUCGAGAGGCCGCAAUUCCUCCGUGUUGUUAUGUGUAGAUUAGGCUGGGUGCACUUAAUGAUGAAUAUGUUUGCUUGUUUAAUAGUAGUAUAGAAACCUCCUCAUGGUUAUCCCUGCCUCCUUUCCCCUCUCUCUUAGUCCUCAUCCUCGACAUCAACAUGUAGCCGCUACCCCGCAAGCUCCGUCUCUGUUUGCCGCCAUGGCCGACGAACUCGGUUAUGUCAAGCCUCCCCUGCCCGUUGCUGUGGCCCGACGUGUUCUAGGGGCUACGUAGACACCGCCUAGACGGCUAGCCGCUCCAUGAGCCAGCUCCCGACUCAUAUCGACGCCUACUCCCCCAUGUCUGACAGAGCUAUCAGGCGAGACCGCAGAGGAGCGGCAGACGAUUAUCCGCGAUACACGGCCGGCGGCUAGAGGUGUGUGGCGACGUCAUGUAGCGGCGGGGCGGCGAGGAUGGCAUGCGCCGGGUGGGGCGGCGACAACGUCGGGUUGGGCGGCGUUCGCGAGAGGUGCGGGCUACGGGCGCGUGGUACUUCCUUUUUCUCGGGGAGAAGGAGGUGGGGAGCAGGCCCGUAAUUUUAGCAGUGACACGGCGUGGGGACGCCGGAUAACAGAGUUUUUGUCCGCCCGAAAAAAUGCUAAACACACUAUGGACGUGGAUUGGUGGAAUAUUAACUCUUAGAUCAAAUUAAGUGAUCUGAUCGAGAGGCCGCAAUUCCUCCGUGUUGUUAUGUGUAGAUUAGGUGGGUGCACUUAGUGAUGAAUAUGUUUGCUUGUUUAAUAGUAGUAUAGAAACCUCCUCAUGGUUAUCCCUGCCUCCUUUCCCCUCUCUCUUAGUCCUCAUCCUCGACAUCAACAUGUAGCCGCUGCCCCGCAAGCUUCGUCUCUGUUUGCCGCCAUGGCCGACGAACUCGGUUAUGUCAAGCCUCCCCUGCCCGUUGCUGUGGCCCGACGUGUUCUAGGGGCUACGUAGACACCGCCUAGACGGCUAGCCGCUCCAUGAGCCAGCUCCCGACUCGUAUCGACGCCUACUCCCCCAUGUCUGACAGAGCUAUCAGGCGAGACCGCAGAGGAGCGGCAGACGAUUAUCUGCGAUACACGGCCGGCGGCUAGAGGUGUGUGGCGGCGUCAUGUAGCGGCGGGGCGGCGAGGAUGGCAUGCGCCGGGUGGGGCGGCGACAGCGUCGGGUUGGGCGGCGUUCGCGAGAGGUGCGGGCUACGGGCGCGUGGUACUUCCUUUUUCUCGGGGAGAAGGAGGUGGGGAGUAGGCCCGUAAUUUUAGCUGUGACACGGCGUGGGGACGCCGGAUAACAGAGUUUUCGUCCGCCCGAAAAAAUGCUAAACACACUAUGGACGUGGAUUGGUGGAAUAUUAACUCUUAGAUCAAAUUAAGUGAUCUGAUCGAGAGGCCGCAAUUCCUCCGUGUUGUUAUGUGUAGAUUAGGCUGGGUGCACUUAGUGAUGAAUAUGUUUGCUCGUUUAAUAGUAGCAUAGAUAAGUCAUUUUAGAGAUUCUAAUAUAAGUACAAACGGAGCAAAAUAAGUGAAUCUACACUCUAAAAUACCUCUACAUUCAUCUGUAUGUAGUCCAUAUUGAAAUGUCUAAAAAGACUUAUAUUUAGGAACGGAUGAAAUAUAAUACUCCUAUAAACUAUCUCUGCUACUGUUUAUCUAUACAUUUAUGCUGCCUAUGUUGGGAACGUAUCUGGUGCACCGGACCUUGUUGCACAUUCAAAAAUAUAUUAAAAUAUCAAGGAAAAUAAUUAGUGCAUUGACCGAAAUCACUAGUUGAGGAGUACUCAUUACAAAGAUCACUCCCACCUCCCGGGUUGCGACAAGUGGCGCGCUGCAUGUGCGCCACUUGUCACAACCGGGAGUUUUCCUUUUUUCAUAGAUCCGUUUAUUUAAAAUAUUUUAUCUCUUAAACCAUGUGUUCAAAUCUUAAACCGUUUCCACCGUUGGAUUCCAUUCCUCGCGUCGAGAUCUUCAAAAGUAGAUCCCAUGUUGAUAGGUUUUGACGAACUUUUUUUUCACGAAAAAACCGGAUGAAAAAACCGACCCGGGAGCAUGGGUUUUUUCGCUUUCCGAAAGAGGCACACCCGUGCCUCUCGCGAAAGCACAACCGUCCCUCUCGCGGAAGCAAAACCGUGCCUCUCGCAGAAAAAAAAAUAGAAAACACGUUUUUUUCGUUUCCGAGAGGCACGACCGUGACUCUCGCGGAAGCACAACCGUGCCUCUCGUGGAAAGAAAAAACAAAAAUGCGUUUUUUCGUUUCCAAGAGACACGACCGUGACUCUCGCGAAAGCACAACCGUGCCUCUAGCGAAAGCAAAACCGUGCCUCUCGCGGAAGAAAAAAAAUAGAAAACCCAUUUUUUUCUUUUCGAAAGGCACGGCUGUGACUCGCAAAAGCACAACCGUGCCUCCUGCGGAAGCAAAACCGUGCCUCUCAUGGAAGGAAAAAACAGAAAACGCGUUUUUUUCAUUUUCGAAAGGCACGGCCGUGACUCUCGCGAAAGCACAACCAUGCCUCUCGCGGAAGCAAAACCGUGCCUCUCGCGAAAGGAAGAAAAAACAGAAAACGCGUUUUUUUCGUUUCUGAAAGGCACGGCCGUGACUCUCGCGAAAGCACAACCGUGCCUUUCGCGGAAGCAAAACCGAGACUCUCGUGAAAGAAAAAAAAACGCGUUCUUUUUGCGAAACUUUUUUUGAAACUUUUUUUACCCAAAAGCUAAGGAAGACCGGUGGAAAACCAAAACAUCGGAAAAACCCGGAAAAAAACCGUUUAAAAAGUCGAAAACGUGUGCGGAAAAAUAAAAAAAAUCCGGAGGGAGCGCCCAGAGCGGACACAUGGCGGGCGGCUGAGAGCGCGCCAAGUGGCGCUGAUCGUUGCGAGGCUCCCUAUGGAGUGCUGUUAACUAGUUGCUCUCUGCCUUGACACAACAUCAUUAUAUGUUGUCACAAGAAUUCAAAUCAAAAUUCGGAACAUUGCUAGAGAUACAAAAAUGAUAAAUUUGAAAUCAAUGUGUUAAUGGGCCAAAACUGAAGCCCAACUUGUGUUAUGCACUAUUCAUUGUCAAAUUUAUCAUUUUUGUAUCUCGGGCAAUGUUUUAAAUUUUGAUUUGAGUUUUUGUGACAACAUGCAAUGAUGUUGUUUCAAUGCACUAAAUUGUAUCCGGAUUUUUCCUAACAUUUUUAAUAUGCAAUGGGGGACCCGUGCACCAGUAGCACCAAUUGCCCUGGUGCACUAGAUACAUCCUCGCAAAUGUUUGCCACUGAUCCGAAUUCCAAACUAGUACUCCAAAGAAACCAUUUGUUGAAGCUUAUUAGGACAAUGUCCAUGUGUUGUAAUAGAAGAUAAAUGCGAUUGUGUAAAUAAAUGUCUAUCAAAUCUUGCCCGUGAUUUACCUAUAGUUUGAUGAGACGUCAGGUAAGUAAAUUAAAGUGAAACUGAUUCAGAAGGUAAGUAAAAAGAAUUGCAGGAAGAAGGCAAGUAAAUUAAUAUGAUUGAUUAUCAUAUGCAGACACUAGUAGAAAACGACCUUUCGUUCGCAUCAUUAGUCCCGUUUGAUUAUGGCCCGGGACUAAUGUGACCAUUAGUCCCAGUUCCAACGGCUAGGGCACGGGCAUCAUUAGUCCCGGUUCGUUUUGUACCUCUAGUCCCGGUUUGUGACACAAACCGGGACUAAAGGGGUUGUGGCAGGCUGGCGUCAGGCUGGGGCCCCCACGAGCACCUUUAGUCCCGGUUUGUAUCACAAACCAGGACUAGAGGUACACCUUUAGUCCCAGUUUGUAUAACCAAACGGGAAUAAAGAUGCCCCUAUAUAAACCCUUCGUCCAGCCCGAGCCCAUUCUCUCUGUUUUCCCCUUUCCUCUCCUCUGUUCUUCCCCUUGCUCGAGCUCAUCCUCCGUUUUUGCCAAGAUUUGUCAAGAUUUGAAGGCACCCCAUCCAUCCAAGUGUUCACAAAGGUUAGCAACUUUGUCCUUUCAUCUCUCAUUGCUAGAUUAGCUCCUGCAAUGCUCUAUAAGUAUAGUGAUUUGUGGGUUUUAGUUUGGGACUAAUUAUAUGUUGGAGUUUAUUUGAUUUAUGUGCAAUUUGAGCUCAAAUUAACUUCUUAGUUUGCAUAUGUAGGUGUGGUUUACUUAGUGCCUUACCGUCCCCGUCCUAACCACCGUCGAUCGCCCGCACCGCCCCGUCGCCGGCGCCACCUUCGUGAGCCUCUUGUUCUUAUCCUUUUUAUAAAAAAAAUCAUGUUUGUAUGAUUUAGAUAGUUACUUGUAUAAUUUUCUUACCUGUAUGGUUGUUUGUUAUACAUAGUGGCAUGGUUUUGAUAUCAGUCCCCGUCGGCCCUCGUCCGGUUUAUGAUUCGGAUGUGGUAUAUGUAUAUUCUCUUUAUAACUAUUUGUUGAAUUUCGUGUUUAUGACAAUUGUGCCCAUCAAGUUGACAUAGAUAUUUUUAUUUAGGAGGUAUGUGAACCGGAAAUUGCAACUGACCCUCUUGUCGAGAAGUUAAAUUUAGUUGAAAAAGAAAACAAGUAUUUGAAUGAAAAAUUGAAAGAAUUGAAGAAGAGAAGAUGAAACUGGAGUUGUAUGUUGCCGAUGUCGCCGAUGAUCACAAGAUCAAGAUGGAUGCAAUGCGCUUGAAGAUUAGAAAGAUUAGAAAAUAUGCCGUAAUAAAGAGGCUUGGUAUCACUAUGCUGUUGGAUCAAUUGUUACCUUAGUUGCGAUCUUGAUCGCAUUUGUUGUUGCAUUUAAAUGCUUUAGCUAGAGAGUUUGUAUGUUGUUUUAUGAGAAUAAGUGUGUAUAAAUUUUAUGUAUGAACUUGUAUUAAUUUGGUCUUUUCGGUGUUGUGCAAUGAAGAUGAGCCGACAAUGGAUGUACGAUGACCGACGCUCUCCCCGGUUCAUUGAUGGUGUGCAUACUUUUCUGCUUGCGGCCGAGGCAAACAAGCGGUCGGAUGGUUUUAUGUGUUGUCCAUGUGGUGUCUGUAAUAAUGAUAACAAUUACUCUAACUCAAGAACCAUUCACGUCCACCUUUUUACGUCCGGUUUCAUGUCCAGCUAUAACUGUUGGACCAAGCACGGAGAAAGAGAGGGGUUCUAAUGGAAGAGAAUGAAGAAGAAGAGGAUGAUGACAGCUAUCCUCGCCAUGGGUUCCCUGAAUACGAUGGUACUACAAUGGGGGAAGAAGCUGAAGAAGAGGCAUCAGAGGAGCCCGCUAAUGAUCUUGGUCGGGCCAUUGCUGAUGCAAAGAGAAAUUGCGCAAGUGAAAAGGAGAAGUUGAAGUUGCAACGCAUGUUAGAGGAUCACAAGAAAUUGUUGUACCCAAAUUGCGAAGAUGACAAGAAAAAGCUGGGUACCACACUGGAAUUGUUGCAAUGGAAGGCAGAGAACGGUGUAUCCGACAAGGGAUUUGAAAAGUUGUUGAUAAUGUUAAGGAAGAUGCUUCCAAAGGACAACGAAUUGCCCGACAGUACGUACGAAGCAAAGAAGGAUGUCUGCCCUCAAGGAUUAGAGGUGCAGAAGAUACAUGAAUGCCCUAAUGACUGCAUCCUGUACCGAGGUGAGGAGUACGAGAAUUUGAAUGCAUGCCCGGUAUGCGGUGCAUUGUGCUAUAAGAUCAGCUAUGAUGACCCUGGUGAUGUUGAGGGCGAGUGUCUCAGGAAGAGAAUUUCUGCCAAGGUGAUGUGGUAUGCUCCUAUAAGACCACAGUUGAAACGUUUGUUCCAAAACAAAGAGCAUGCCAAGUUGAUGCGAUGGCACAAAGAAGUCCGUAAGAAAAACGGGAAGUUGAGAGUACCCGCUGAUGGCCCUUACGAACCGGGACUAAUGGUUGAUUCUCCACUAGUGAGAAAGGAUGGACGAAGAGGUGGUGGAAAAAAAUGAAACGUGAAACCUUAGAUUUUUUUGAAAAAGUGGAGAUAGAAAUAGAGAUUCAUGUGCGCUAGGCAAAAAAAAACUAGAUAAAAGAACAAGAGGCCGCCAAGGCCUUUAACCAUUAAAGUGUCACAUAUAUGUUUGGCUGUGUCGUAUUCAAGGCUCCGCAGACCUAAGAAAGGUUCGAACUCUGGGGCAUGUGCGAAGAACUCAACCUCUUCAGCCAACCAGUUCGUCGUCCCCACGGCCUAGCUCAAUGAACAAGAAAUGAGAGGGACACGACAGUUUACCCAGGUUCAGGCCCCCUUGCGGUGUAAGACCGUACUCCUGCUUUGGGGUGGAUUAGCCUCGCGAGGGGCUGAGGAUGAACUAGUACAGAGGAAGAACAACCUCAGGAGGUCUGUUCUUGUGUGAGUGUGAGCUAGUGAGGGUUUGGAUCCCAUCCCCCUCAUCGGUGGUGGCUGAGCUAUAUUUAUAGUGGCCUUGGUCCUCUUCCUCCAAUCGAAGGCGGGAAGGGAUCCCACAGUGGCCAAUUUUGAAGGGUGACAAGUAGUACAUCCUAUCCUGACGAAAGGUGGUCUUUGCCUGCAAAGCUUCUGGUCGUGACGCCGUGGUGGGCUCGGCGAUGACAUCCUUCCUGGCGGUCUUGGUCUUGUUGCACGGGAAUGGAAAUCUUUGGCUGAUUCCUCGGGACCCCGCGCCUGCGCUUGCCUCCUUAGCACCAAAGAGGAAAUCUUCUGCUCUGCGCCCGCUGGCACCCGCUUGGCCUUGUUCGUCAUGGCUUGCGUCACCUCAACCUCACGAGGUGGGCGCCUGCAUAGGAAUCUCCGCUCCUCGGGAGCCAGCCUGGGGAGGCCGCUCCCUCCGGAUGUCUUGGUGUCGUCCGCCUCACGAGGCUUGGCCCCUCGCGAGGGUCUUGUCUUGCCGAUGCUGAAGAUGGGCCGUACCAGGCCGUCGACGGAGCCACGCCGUGGGCCGCAAGCAGGCAAGUCCGGGUACCCUGGUUCCCGGAACGCUGAUAGUAGUCCCCGGGCCCAAGGCGCGCUCGGACUUGGCUUCGAGGCGAAGCCAAAGGGCAAGGGCAACGCGCCGUGGGCCCCAAUCGCCUGUGGACCGAGUCGAUGCGUGGCGCUUGAUGGGACGUGGGCGUCUCCACUUCCCCAUGCUGCCUCGGCAACCGCCUGACUUGACAACUGCCUGUUGCAUGCAGAAAAACCAUCAUUACUUGGAAUCGUGGGAGGCCAGCGGUUGGCAUCCCUCCGGCUAUAAAUGGGGGAAGGGGUGGAGCCCCCAGCCCAUCCUCGUCUUUUCGCCGCCUGCUCCUCCUUCCUCUUUGCUCCGACGUCUUGCCGAAUUGUCUAUGGCGCCAGUGAGAAGGUUUUCCACUGCGGAGAAGGGAAAAUCCCAUCAGGUGGAAUUUGAGUUGCUCCCGCCGAAGAAGAGGCCUGAUUGCUCCCGUGACACCGUCGCGGAGCCCAUGGCGACGCGGCCUUGGCAUGAACGGGCUCUGCCGGGCUUCCCUGUCCCCCGUGUAUGCCUGCGCGCAGAGCCCCGCGCAUAGGAGCGGCGGCCAACGAUGCGAGGAGCAGGGUCGCGGAGGAGAACUUGCAGUGGCCGCACGGCCACCCCACUCGCGGACCCACGCUGAAGGCACGGACCGUGAGUUUGUGGUGUGGGCGGCAAUGCCGCCGCGCACAUGGAUCCGGCUCCCGCGGUCCCUUGCAAGGGAGAUACCACAAAGGGGGCCACUGAGUUGUGGCUGCAGCACGAUGGAUGCUGCGGCCAGGCUUCAGAAGCAGAAGUCGAGGCCGUCAACUCCGGCGACGUCUUCAUGACUCGAGGAUGGGGCGCGAUCGCCCGUGCCUCCCCCCAAGAGGGAGGCCACGCCAUCCACUUCGAGUACGACAGGGUGUCAACGCUCUUCUUCAAGGUCUUCGGCGAGGAUGGUCGGCACCUGGAAUGCUUCUGACAGGAGCAGCGCCUCCUCGGGGCAUGCCUCGAGCGAAGAUGACAGCUAUGAGCCGCCGCGUCACCACAGCCAAGCCUAGUGGAGGAAACUUCCAGCGUGACGCGUGGGCGACGUUGUUUAGGCCACGGUCUUCGGGAGAUCCUUUCGUUUGGUUUUGUCCCUGUAGAAAACCAUGUAGGGCCCCGCAGGGAUAUGUAAAAACUAUGAUGCUUUUGCCUUAAUGCUGAUUAUUUCCAAUCAAUGCCACAUUUACGUUUCUCGUUGUGGCACGGUUCCCCCUUUCAUCCUCAUGGUAGCUUAGUGCUCUACGCCAGCAGGACCUAGUCCCCAGGGAAGCUUUAGUCAUUGCUGGUAUGCCAGGUCACGAUGCCGUGAUCAAGGCCGGGAGAUGAGCGGCCCAAGGUCCAGUAAGAGCCCCUGAGGCGCGAUGCUCAAGGGGUCGCCUUUGGCACGCAAGCGGCUCCCGAAGGAUUGAAAGGGAAACAUCCUUGCUCGAGCGAGAUCGCAAGAGGCAGAACGCUGAUCGUGAGGUUUAUGCCUGCGCGUAUGGGGUGACUUAUCUUGGCGAGCCUGCGGUGAUCCUUUCAUUGUGAGGACAACUUCUUGUGCGACAUCAGGCUAUGUCCUUCUGACGGUGGCACUCCCAGGCAGGACUCGUGCCAACCCCCUCUUUCCCGCUCAUCUGGAUGCUCUACGUCCUCCGGUCCCGGCCCUUGAGCGAGGCUCAGCCGCCGCUGGUAUGCUAGGUCGCGAUGCCGUGGUCAAGGCCAGGAGGUCAGGGCUCGAGAGCCGGUAGGAUCCCUUGAGGUGCGAUGCUCAGGGCCCCCCUUUAAUGUGCGAGCGAUUUGUGUGAAAAAGGAGUGCCUGGCCUCGCGAGGAUGCCUUGGAGGGGUCGCGACUCGAGGUGUUGGCGGGUCCGCUCGUGCUCCGGAGGUCCCUGUGGCACCCCGGCUCAGAGCGACCGGUUUGCCUUGCAUUCCCAGCCCAGAGAUCAAGUCUUCUGGCAACACGCAACAACUUGGUACAGAAAUACAACCGCUUUAUUGGUACUACCAGAACAUAGAGUUUGAUAUUACAAGUAGCGAGGCCAAGAGGCACACUUGGUGCUGCUGAACAUAUGUACAUUAUUUAGUAGACAUGAGCAGGGGCCUCGACAUCAUGAUAAGACUACGUGGCAACGGAACGAUGAUGUAGAAAGACUCCAUCUCACAGGGACACUGAUGUGGACACGGUCUAGACUGCGAUACGAUAUGCAACUCCAAGGUAUGACUUCUCCUGAAACUGGCAUGACAUGCCAGGUCAGUACAUUGAAUGUACUUGCAAGCUCACACAAACAAAGCAACAAUGGCAAACAAGAACAAUGAUAUUUAAGCAGGUUUAAUGCAAGAAUUAACAUGUUACUCAUGAAGUGAUCGUGCUCAUAACAGGGCCUUUCCGACCCGCUUACCAUCUCGGUUACCUCGUAACCACGAACCUCAUCAUAUCAAGGUGAUCACUCCCGGAUCACAAACGAAACCACCUCGGUGGUCCUCACAACUUAACCGACAUAACCAGUGCCACAAGUAUUCAUUUAGUGCGCAAGUUUAAUAUUUUCUUGUUGAUCCACGGUGUGACCUACUAUGAACUUGUGUCCAUGACCGAGGACGCUGCUAUCGAUAGAUUAUACACACUCUGCAGAGGUUACCACACUGUACCCACACCACGGAACCCAUGGCCUCGGACUCCCAUUCGGGUGGACGAACGGCGUUCCGACAGAACCAGGCUAUUGCCAUGACACUCUCCCGGCCACUCCGACCAACUCCCCUUUGGGCUAAGUCAUGGGUGGCCCCGAUGCCACUCCGUACAUCCAACGGCCCCCGUCGUGACAAAACAAUCGUCCCAAAGGGGAUAUGGUACCAAAAUAACUACGGGCACACAAGGUUAUACCUGCCUACCGGGCCAGGGUAGUGCCAGCGCAUAACCUUCCCUAGUUGGAGGUACCGGCGAGAGGCAUAACAAUAGAUCGAGAAAGGUCCCCCCUCAUAAAGGCAAAUGUGGUUGCACUUUGGGAAGCUCGAUUUGGUGGCACCAUGACUCGAUCAACAACAUGUUCAAGUUGGUUUAUUAUCAGGUUUCAACUUGCAAAAAUUUCACCGAGUCAUAGUAUGCCAUGAAAAUGCAAUGACAAAUAUUGCAUUACUUUCAACAUAAUCUCAAUAUUAAGUUAUUAACUAAAUCAAGCAUAAUGUCAUAUUACUCUACUACAUAAACUUAACCAUCCAACUAUAAUGCUACUGAUAACAGAAUAAUCACAGCAAGAACAUGCAACUAGCAUCAAAUGAAUUUAUAUGAAUUUUCUAUAUGCAUUUAAAAUAAUGAUAUUCAAGUGAAACCAUAGUUAUUGAAAUGGCAUUCUUGCAAAUAUUUGUGAUGGCUUGCCUUAGUGCAGAGGAGGGUCACACUCCUCCUGGUUCUCCUCAAGGCAAGUUUCUUACAAUGAAAAUGAUUAAAAUAGCAAAAAUAAAAUGUCAUAUAACACUGUUUAAUUCACCAGAAAAUAAUCACAACAAGCAAAAAUCUCAUCUUUUGCAUGCUGAUAGAAAAUUUUAACACAAAACCAAUGCAAAAAGAAUCAUGUCAUUUGGACUUAUAGAAUAGGAGUUAUAGCUGGUCAAAGUUUAGUCAAUUUUCUGAUUAUAAAUUUGAUUUUUCAGAAAAUCAGAGAGGGGGGUGAUGUCGAAGGCGUAAACCAGCGGGGCGUCUCCACUCAUACUGCUUCGGGAGGCGGCUGAGUGGCUGACAAUGGGCCCCCGUGGUCAGGUUUAGAGGGAGAGGGAGAGAAACAGAGGAGGAGGGGUGGCUCGUCGCCGGUGGUUCUCCGACGAGGAGAGCUCGGCGGCUGCCGUGGAAGGGAGGGAUGGACGCACAAGGUUACGACGCACCUGGACGUACCCAAAAUGUGGCGAGAGGUGGUCGGACAAGGUCGGCAUGCUCGUCUCCAGCGGCUGCAGCGGGCGGAGCACGUCGGAGAGGAAGACGCCGACGACGUGAGGCCGUUCCAGGGGCUCCAGAGGCACCAGCUAGGACCAGUGGACCACCAGGAACACGCUUGAGCAGUCGGUGGAGCUCGAGAGGCAGUGGAGUGGGAGGGGGCAGAGGACUUGGAUCGCCGGCGACCGGCGGAGGGGAAAGGCGGCCAGUGGCCCGCCUGGCCCAUCCACGGCUAGCUGAGGAGGUGUGGAGGUUAGGUGCGUGUGAUUUCGUGCUCGGAGAGGGGCGGAUCGAGCUCUAUUUAAAGGUGGAGGGGAGCGGGGUCUUGGGCUCGCCGGAGGGCUCUGGAAGCAGCGCUCGGCAACGGCUGGCACUAGUGAGAGGGGCGAAGGACUCCACGGCUCACGCGGCCACUGUGGGAGGGCGCAGACGAGCACAGGACGCAGGUGGAGACGAGCACAGGGGCACGGGUGCACUUUGCACUUGGCCUCGUUGUGCCCGUGCUCGCUGCGGCGAACUACGGGAUCAGCGAGCGGCAGGGAGGGGUCAAGGGCGACGGGACGAGGGUGGUGGCAUGGUGCGGCAGGCUGAGGCGAGCUCCGACGCGGGCACGGGCGAAACAGAGCCGCUGGCGUGACGUAGAGCGCGUCGACCGCAUGCCAGGGGCCUUGUCCUCGCGCGGUCACCGCGUGAACUCUGGCAUCACGUGACCUGGGCUGUGCAAAUAGUUGGAGAUAUGCCCUAGAGGCAAUAAUAAAAUAGUUAUUAUUAUAUUUCCUUGUUCAUGAUAAUUGUCUAUUGUUCAUGCUAUAAUUGUAUUAACCGGAAACCGUAAUACAUGUGUGAAUACAUAGACCACAACAUGUCCCUAGUAAACAUCUAGUUGACUAGCUCGUUGAUCAAUAGAUGGUUGUGGUUACCUGACCAUGGACAUUGGAUGUCGUUGAUAACGGGAUUACAUCAUUAGGAGAAUGAUGUGAUGGACAAGACCCAAUCCUAAGCAUAGCACAAGAUCGUGUAGUUCGUUUGCUAGAGCUUUUCUAAUGUCAAGUAUCAUUUCCUUAGACCAUGAGAUUGUGCAACUCCCGGAUACCGUAGGAAUGCUUUGGGUGUAUCAAACAUCACAACGUAACUGGGUGACUAUAAAGGUGCACUACAGGUAUCUCCAAAAGUGUCUGUUAGGUUGGCACGAAUCGAGACUGGGAUUUGUCACUCCGUAUGAUGGAGAGGUAUCUCUGGGCCCACUCGGUAAUGCAUCAUCAUAAUGAGCUCAAUGUGACUAAGGAGUUAGCCACGGGAUCAUGAGUUACAGAAUGAGUAAAGAGACUUGCUGGUAACGAGAUUGAACGAGGUAUGGGGAUACCGACGAUCGAAUCUCGGGCAAAUAACAUACCGGUGGACAAAGGGAAUUGUAUACGGGAUUGAUUGAAUCCCCGACAUCGUGGUUCAUCCGAUGAGAUCAUCGUGGAACAUGUGGGAGCCAAUAUGGGUAACUAGAUCCCGUUAUUGGUUAUUGUCCAGAGAGGUGUCUCGGUCAUGUCUGCAUGGUUCCCGAACCCAUAGGGUCUACACACUUAAGGUUCGGUGACGCUAGAGUUGUAAUGGAAAUUGUAUGUGGUUACCGAAGGUAGUUCGGAGUCCCGGAUGAGAUCCCGGACAUCACGAGGAGUUCUGGAAUGGUCCGGAGGUGAAGAUCGAUAUAUUGGACGAAGGGUAUUGGAGUCCGGAAAUGUUCCGGGGGUACCAGGCUAUGGCCAGCAUGACCGAAAGGUGUUUCGGGAGCCCCGACAGUGUUGCAGAGCCUCAUGUGCCAAGGGGAGGGGGCAAACCAUCCCACUAAGGGGCCGUGCGCCCCCACACCCUUUCCCAUAUUGCUUGAGGAGGUGGGGCGCCUCCACCUGACUUGGGAGGCAAGCCUCCACCUGGCUUGGCUUGGGGGGCAAGUCUCCCUAGGGUUUCCCUAGGGAGAUCCAAUCUGCCUUGACCGCCGCCCCCUAGGGGAAACCCUAGGGCGCCUCCCCCUCUCCCCUUCCCCCUAUAUAUAGUGAGGGGGUGGGAGGGCAGCCGCACCCUUCCCUGGCGCAACCCUUCCCCCCUCCAACACCUCCUCCUCCUCCGUAGUGCUUGGCGAAGCCCUGCCAAAGAACCGCAAGCUCCACCACCACGCCGUCAUGCUACCGGAGCUCUCCCUCAACUUCUCCUCUCCCCUUGCUGGAUCAAGAAGGAGGAGACGUCCUGGGCUGUACGUGUGUUGAACGCGCAGGUGCCGUCCGUUCGGCGCUUGGAUCGGAUCUUCCGCGAUUUGAAUCGCCGCGAGUACGACUCCAUCAACCAAGUUCUUGUAACGCUUCCGCUUAGUGAUCUUCAAGGGUAUGAAGAUGCUCUCCCUCUCUCUCGUUGCUAGCAUCUCCUAGAUUGAUUUCGGUGACACGUAGGAAUUUUUUUGAAUUAUUACUACGUUCCCCAAUAGUGGUAUCAGAGCUAGGUCUAUGCGUAGAUUCUAUGCACGAGUAGAACACAAGUAGUUGUGGGCGAUGAUUUGCUCAAUUUGCUUACCGUUACUAGUCCUAUCUUGAUUCGUCGGCAUGGUGAUGAAGCGGCCCGGACCGACCUUACACGUAUGCUUACGCGAGACAGGUUCCACCGACUGACAUGCACUUGUUGCAUCAGGUGGCUAGCGGGUGUCUAUCUCUCCCACUUUAGUCGGAUCGGAUUCGAUGAAGAGGGUCCUUAUGAAGGGUAAAUUGCAAUUGGCAUAUCACCGUUGUGGCUUUUGUGUAGGUAAGAGACGUUCUUGCUAGAAACCCACAGCAGCCACGUAAAACAUGCAACAACAAUUAGAGGACACUACAAAAAAAAGACACAUCCGUGACAUUUUGGGCUGAACGAAAUUUUUUCUGUCAUGCUUAUGACACUUCUAUGACGAUAAUUGUGACAAAACCCGGUAUCAUCAUAGAUGUGGUGGGCUCCUACUUCUAUGACAAAAAGUCAUGACAGAAAAUGGGCUUUUCGUCCUGUGCGGGCCGGAGACGCAGCUGCAUGACAUUCUUUGGGCCGGCCAUGAUAGAAAAAACCAUGGUAGAAGCGAGGGGGAAGAAAAUAUCGGGGGAGUUCCCGGUUACGGUGGGUGGUCGGGGGCCGAGCGAAGCACGUUUCUCUCGUACGUACGCGCGUGUGUGCGAGGCGUUGUGCUCUAACUGAACCCGAGCGAGGCGUUGGGCUCUAACUGAACCCGAGCGAUUGCACUGCAGGCUAUGCGUUACUGAACCCGAGCGAUCGAUCAAUCCCUUGCUGUUAACUGAACCCGAGUGAUUCCUUCGCUACUGCUGCUAACUGAAGCCGAUCGAUGCUGCCUCUAGAUGAACAGUGAGCGUUGUUGGGGGGUUUGGAUGAACAGUUCCUGGUGGGGGGUUGGAUGAACAGGACCCCAUGGUAGUAGAGGCCGUUGCCGCUGGAUGAACAGGACCCCGAUCGAUCGAGCCGGUGGAUGAACAGGACCCCGUGGGGGGCUGGAUGAACAGGAUGACCCCGUGGAGGGCUAAAUGAACAGGACGACCCCGUGGAGGGCUGGUUGAACAGUAGCCGGUGGAGGGCUGGAUGAACAGGAGCCCAUGGAGGGGUGGUUGAACAGGACCCCGUGGAGAGGGCUGGUUGAACAGUAGCCGGUGGAGGAGCGCGCGGUGGAGGCUGGAUGAACAUGAGCCCGUGGAUGAACAGUCGCAGGUGGAGGCUGGAGGAGGUCAAAGGUGGAUGAACAGCAGCCCGUGGAGGCAGUAGACGGUGGAGAUGAACAGUAUCCCGUGGAGUCCCGUUUGGCGGUACGCCACACCCCUCCCGAUGAACAGGACCCCUGUUUCGACCGUAGCGCUCCAACACAAGUCUGUUUCCUCCGUUUUGCGGUACGCCGCACCCCUCCCGAUCAACAGGACCCCGUUUUGACCGUAGGAGGUCCAUUUUCUCCGUUUUGCGGUAUGCCAGACCCCUCCUGAUGAACAGGAUCCCGUUUCGACCGUGGCCGGUCGAACACAAGGCCGUUUCCUCUGUUUUGCGGUACGCCGAGCCUCGUUUCCAUCGGCUGUUCCGUCCAAGCCGGUUGGCUCCCGAUGAACACGACGCAUUCUUUUGCCUCCCCAUGAACACGACGACGGUGCAGCUUCUCCGUUCCGACCCAGUCAUGUACACGAGCCAUGGCCGUACGUAUGCGUGAGUAGGCGUUCGAGACCCCGCCCGUAUGUAUGUACGUGGCCGUAUUUUCUUUCUUGCACCCUGACCGCCGUACGUACGUGUACAUGCUAUGUGCGCGACUCUACUACGACACGUGCGCGCCUCUACUACGACACGUGCGCGCCUCUACAUCGACCAGUAUGUACGUACACGUUCGCGACCAAAAUGACAACGCUACGUACGCUUCAACCAGGUGGGUCCCGACUGUCAGGCACUUCCUUGCGUGCGAAGAUGUAGCUGGUGGGUCCCAGCAGUCAGGGGGCGAAUCAUUUUUUUUGCCCGUAAUAUGGACGCACUUCCAUGCGUGCGAAGAUGUAGCUAGUGGGUCCCAGCAGUCUGGGGGAAACAUUUUUUCAUGAAAUACAGUGGCCCGUCCAGUGGGUCCUGCUGUUAGGUGGAGGAAUAAUUAUUUUCCGCGUAAUAAGGAGGCACUUCCUUGCUGCGGCCGUGGACCCAGCUGUCAGCCACUCCAUGUAUAGUACUCUUCCGAUGGAAGUCGGUCCUUGACCACAUUGACCACGCCGUGCCGAGAGCACCAAGAUGGUGGACAACGCCGAGGCCUAGGAAGGGGACGACGUGGAGCUAGGGAAGACGCGGCAGUGGACGCCCACGCGGAGAGGAGUACGAGGGUUCAUUGGUUCGACUCCGAUGUGUGAGGAUGCCAUCGCCGCAGGGCCUGGCCAGUGGUGGGAGCGGUAGCGGGCGGUGAGGCCUCCGCGGCAGCACAGCCGGCCACGGGAGGCAGGAGCAGGCGGCACGACCGGCGCUGCUUUGGGCGGCUAGAGCAAGAAGACCAGAGGUUGAAGAAUCACGACGGCCGUUGGAUGGACAUCGUACUGUCACUGCAGCUAGAAUCGUUUAUAUUGACUAAGUUGACAAAGCCCUUGAUACGCGUCAACUGAUACUUCUCCAACGUAUCUAUAAUUUUUGAUUGUUCCAUGCUAUUAUAUUAUCUGUUUUGGAUGUUUAAUGGGCUUUAAUAUGCUCUUUUAUAUUAUUUUUGGGACUAACCUAUUAACCGAAGGCCCAGUGCGAAUUGCUGUUUUUUUGCCUAUUUCAGUGUUUCGCAGAAAAGGAAAAUCAAACGGAAUCCAAACGGAACGAAACCUUUGCGAGGAUAUUUCUUGGAACAAACGCAACCCAGGAGACUUGGAGUGGAAGUUAGGGAAGCUACAAGGAAGCCACGAGGCAGGAGGGUGUGCCCCCCACCCUCGUGGGCCCCUCGCAGCUCUACCGACCUACUUCUUUCGCCUAUAUAUGAAGGAAAUAUGCCCUAGAGGCAAUAAUAAAGUUAUUAUUUAUUUCCUUAUAUCAUGAUAAAUGUUUAUUAUUCAUGCUAGAAUUGUAUUAACCGGAAACAUAUUACAUGUGUGAAUACAUAGACAAACAGAGUGUCACUAGUAUGCAUCUACUUGACUAGCUCGUUGAUCAAAGAUGGUUAUGUUUCCUAGCCAUAGACAUGAGUUGUCAUUUGAUUAACGGGAACACAUCAUUAGGAGAAUGAUGUGAUUGACUUGACCCAUUCCGUUAGCUUAGCACUCAAUCGUUUAGUAUGUUGCUAUUGCUUUCUUCAUGACUUAUACAUGUUCCUAUGACUAUGAGAUUAUGAAACUCCCGUUUACCGGAGGAACACUUUGUGUGCUACCAAACGGGGUGAUUAUAAAGGUGCUCUACAGGUGUCUCCGAAGGUACUUGUUGGGUUGGCGUAUUUCGAGAUUAGGAUUUGUCACUCCGAUUGUCGGAGAGGUAUCUCUGGGCCCUCUCGGUAAUGCACAUCACUUAAGCCUUGCAAGCAUUGCAACUAAUGAGUUAGUUGUGGGAUGAUGUAUUAUGGAACGAGUAAAGAGACUUGCCGGUAACGAGAUUGAACUAGGUAUUGAGAUAUCGACGAUCGAAUCUCGGGCAAGUAACAUACCGAUGACAAAGGGAACAACAUAGUUGUUAUGCGGUCUGACCGAUAAAGAUCUUCGUAGAAUAUGUGGGAGCCAAUAUGAGCAUCCAGGUUCCUCUAUUGGUUAUUGACCGGAGACGUGUCUCGGUCAUGUUUACAUAGUUCUCGAACCCGUAGGGUCCGCACGCUUAACGUUUCGAUGACAGUUAUAUUAUGAGUUUAUGUGUUUUGACGUACCGAAGGUAGUUCGGAGUCCCGGAUGAGAUCGGGGACAUGACGAGGAGUCUCGAAAUGGUCGAGACGUAAAGAUCGAUAUAUUGGACGACUAUAUUCGGACAUCGGAAAGGUUCUGAGUGAUUCGGGUAUUUUUCGGAGUACGGGAGAGUUACGGGAAUUCGCUGGGGAGUAUAUGGCCUUAUUGGGCUUUAGGGGAAAGAGAGAGGAGAGGCUGGGCGCCCCCCAAGGCCUAGUCCGAAUUGGACUAGGGGGAGGGGUUGCGCCCCCUCCUUCCUUCUCUUCUCUCUCCCCUUUCCUUGACUCCUACUCCUACUACUUGGAAGGGGGAAUCCUACUCCCGGUGGGAGUAGGACUCCCCCUUGGCGCGCCUCUCCCUGGCCGGCCGCCUCCUCCCCUUGCUCCUUUAUAUACGGGGGCAGGGGGCACCCCAUAGACACAACAAUUGAUCAUUGAUCUUUUAGCCGUGUGCGGUGCCCCCCUCCACCAUAGUCCACCUCGAUAAUAUCGUAGCGGUGCUUAGGCGAAGCCCUGCGUCGGUAGAACAUCACCAUCGUCACCACGCCAUCGUGCUGACGAAACUCUCCCUCAACACUCGGCUGGAUCGGAGUUCGAGGGACGUCAUCGUGCCGUGUGCUGAACUCAAAGGUGCCGUGCGUUCGGUACUUGAUCAGUCGGAUCGUGAAGAUGUACGACUACAUCAACCGCGUUGUGCUAACGCUUCCGCUUUCGGUCUACGAGGGUACGUGGACAAUACUCUCCCCUCUCGUUACUAUGCAUCACCAUGAUCCUGUGUGUGCGUAGGAAUCUUUUUGAAAUUACUAUGUUCCCCAACAGUGGCAUCCGAGCCAGGUUUUAUGCGUUGAUGUAAUAUGCACGAGUAGAACACAAGUGAGUUGUGGGCGAUAUAAGUCAUACUGCUUACCAGCAUGUCACACUUUGGUUCGGUGGUAUUGUUGGAUGAAGCGGCCCGGACCGACAUUACGCGUACGCUUACGCGAGACUGGUUUUACCGCCGUGCUAUGCACACAGUUGACUAGCGGGUGUCAGUUUCUCCAACUUUAGUUGAACUGAGUGUGGCCACGCCCGGUCCUUGCGAAGGUUAAAACAACACCAACUUGACAAACUAUCGUUGUGGUUUUGAUGCGUAGGUAAGAACGGUUCUUGCUCAGCCCGUAGCAGCCACGUAAAACUUGCAACAACAAAGUAGAGGAUGUCUAACUUGUUUUUGCAGGGCAUGUUGUGAUGUGAUAUGGUCAAGACAUGAUGCUAUAUUUUGUUGUAUGAGAUGAUCAUGUUUUGUUGAAGUUAUCAGCAACUGGCAGAAGCCUUAUGGUUGUCUCUGUAUUGCAUAAGAUGCAAGUGCCAAAUAAUUGCUUUACUUUAUCGCUAUGCGAUAGCAAUAGUUGCAAGAGCAAUAGUUGGCGAGAUGACCAUGUGACGACACAUUGAUAUAGAUCAAGAUGAUGGAGAUCAUGGUGUCAUGCCGGUGACGAUGGAAAUCAUGACGAUGCUUUGAAGAUGGAGAUCAAAGGCACAAGAUGAUGAUGGCCAUAUCAUGUCACAUAUUUUGAUUGCAUGUGAUGUUUAUCUUUUAUACAUCUUAUUUUGCUUAGUUCGACGGUAGCUUUAUAAGAUGAUCUCUCACUAAUUAUCAAGGUACAAGUGUUCUCCCUGAGUAUGCACCGUUGCGAAAGUUCUUCGUGCUGAGACACCAUGUGAUGAUCGGGUGUGAUAGGCUCUACGUUCAAAUACAACGGGUGCAAAACAGUUGCACACGCGGAAUACUCAGGUUAAACUUGACGAGCCUAGCAUAUAACAGAUAUGGCCUCGGAACACUGAGACCGAAAGGUCGAGCGUGAAUCAUAUAGUAGAUAUGAUCAACAUAGUGAUGUUCACCAUUGAAACUACUCCAUCUCACGUGAUGAUCCGACAUGGUUUAGUUGAAAUGGAUCACGUGAUCACUUAGAGGAUUAGAGGGAUGUCUAUCUAAGUGGGAGUUCUUUAAGUAAUAUGAUUAAUUGAACUUUAAUUUAUCAUGAACUUAGUCCUGGUAGUAUUAGCAUAUCUAUGUUGUAGAUCAAUAGCUCGUGUUUAGCUCCCCUGUUUUAUUUUUGAUAUGUUCCUAGAGAAAACUAUGUUGAAAGAUGUUAGUAGCAAUGAUGCGGAUUGGAUCCGUGAUCUGAGGUUUAUUCUCAUUGCUGCACAGAAGAAUUAUGUCCUUGAUGCACCGCUAGGUGACAGACCUAUUGCAGGAGCAGAUGCAGACGUUAUGAACGUUUGGCUAGCUCAAUAUGAUGACUACUUGAUAGUUUAGUGCACCAUGCAUAACGGCUUAGAAUCGGGACUUCAAAGAUGUUUUUGAACAUCAUGGACCAUAUGAGAAGUUCCAGGAGUUGAAGUUAAUAUUUCAAGCAAAUACCCGAGUUGAGAGAUAUGAAGUCUCCAACAAGUUCUAUAGCUAAAAGAUGGAGGAGAAUAGCUCAAGCAGUGAGCAUGUGCUCAGAUUGUCUGGGUACUACAAUCGCUUGAAUCAAGUGGGAGUUAAUCUUCCAGAUAAGAUAGUGAUUGACAUAAUUCUCUAGUCACCAUCACCAAGUUAGUAGAACUUCGUGAUGAACUAAAGUAUGCAAGGGAUAACGUAGACGAUUCCCGAGCUUUUCAUGAUGAUGAAAUCAGAAAUCAAGAAAGAGCAUCAAGUGUUGAUGAUUAACAAGACCACUAGUUUCAAGAAAAGGGCAAAGGGAAAGAAAGGGAACUUCAUGUAGAACAGCAAGCAAGUUGCUGCUCAAGUGAAGAAGCCCAAGUUUGGACCUAAGCCUGAGACUGAGUGCUUCUACUUCAAAAGGACUGGUCACUAGAAGCAGAACUACCCCAAAUAAUUGGCGGAUAAGAAGGAUGGCAAAGUGAACAAAAGUAUAUUUGAUAUACAUGCUAUUGAUGUAUACUUUACUAGUGUUUAUAGCAACCCCUCAGUAUUUGAUACUGGUUUAGUUGCUAAGAGUAGUAACUUAAAACAGGAGUUGCAAAAUGAACAUAGACUAGUUAAGGAUGAAGUGACGAUGUGUGUUGGAAGUAGGUCCAAGAUUUAUGUGAUCAUCAUCGCACAAUCCAUAUAACUUUCGGGAUUAGUGUUGAACCUAAAUAAGUGUUAUUUGGUGUUUGCGUUGAGCAUGAAUAUGAUUGGAUCAUGUUUAUUGCAAAACGGUUAUUCAUGUAAGUUGGAGAAUAAUUGUUGUUCUGUUUACAUGAAUAAAACCUUCUAUGGUCAUACACCCAAUGAAAAUGGUUUGUUGGAUCUCGAUCGUGGUGAUACACAUUUUCAUAAUAUUGAAGCCAAAAGAUGCAAAGUUAAUAAUGAUAGUGCAACUUAUUUGUGGCACUACCGUUUAGGUCAUAUUGGUGUAAAGCGCAUGAAGAAACUCCAUGCUGAUGGACUUUUGGAAUCACUUGAUGCUUGCGAACCAUGCCUCAUGGGCAAGAUGACUAAGACUCCGUUCUCCGGAACAAUGGAGCGAGCAACUGACUUAUUGGAAAUAAUACAUACUGAUGUAUGCGGUCCGAUGAGUGUUAAGGCUCGCGGCAAGUAUCAUUAUUUUCUGACCUUCACAGAUGAUUUGAGCAGAUAUGGGUAUAUCUACUUGAUGAAACACAAGUCUGAAACAUUUGAAAAGUUCAAAGAAUUUCAGAGUGAAGUGGAGAAUCAUCGUAACAAGAAAAUAAAAGUUUCUACGAUAAGAUCGCAGAGAUGAAAUAUUUGAGUUACGAGUUUGGCCUUCAGUUAAAACAAUGUGAAAUAGUUUCACUACUCACGCCACCUGGAACACCUCAGUGUAAUGGUGUGUCCGAACGUCAUAACCGUACUUUAUUGGAUAUAGUGCAAUCUAUGAUGUCUCUUACCGAUUUACCACUAUCGUUCUGGGGUUAUGCAUUAGAGACAGCUGCAUUCACAUUAAAUAGGGCACCGUCUAAUCCGUUGAGACGACACCGUAUGAACUAUGGUUUGGCAAGAAACCUAAGCUGUCGUUUCUUAAAGUUUGGGGCUGCGAUGCUUAUGUGAAAAAGCUUCAACCUGAUAAGCUCAAACCCAAAUCGGAGAAAUGUGUCUUCAUAGGAUACCCAAAGGAGACUGUUGGGUACACCUUCUAUCAUAGAUCCGAAGGCAAGACAUUCGUUGCUAAGAAUGGAUCCUUUCUAGAGAAGGAGUUUCUCUCGAAAGAAGUGAGUGGGAGGAAAGUAGAACUUGAUGAGGUAACUGUACCUGCUCCCUUAUUGGAAAGUAGUUCAUCACAGAAAUCUAUUCCUGUGACUCCUACACCAAUUAGUGAGAAAGCUAAUGAUGAUGAUCAUGUAACUUCAGAUCAAGUUACUACCAAACCUCAUAGGUCAACCAGAGUGAGAUCCGCACCAGAGUGGUACGGUAAUCCUGUUCUGGAGGUCAUGUUACUAGACCAUGACGAACCUACGAACUAUGAAGAAGCGAUGGUGAGCCUAGAUUCCGCAAAAUGGCUUGAGGCCAUGAAAUAUGAGAUGGGAUCCAUGUAUGAGAAUAAAGUAUGGACUUUGAUUGACUUGCCCAAAUGAUCGGCAAGCCAUUGAGAUUAAAUGGAUCUUCAAGAGGAAGACGGACGCUGAUAGUAGUGUUACUAUCUACAAAGCUAGAAUUGUCACAAAAGGUUUUCGACAAGUUCAAGGUGUUGACUACGAUGAGAGUUUCUCACUCGUAUCUAUGCUUAAGUCUGUCCGAAUCAUGUUAGCAAUUGCCGCAUUUUAUGAAAACUGGCAAAUGGAUAAACAAAACCGCAUUCCUUAAUGGAUUUAUUAAAGAAGAGUUGUAUAUGAUGCAACCAGAAGGUUUUGUCGAUCCAAAGGGAGCUAACAAAGUGUGCAAGCUCCAGCGAUCCAUUUAUGGACUGGUGCAAGCCUCUCGGAGUUGGAAUAAAUGCUUUGAUAGUGUGAUCAAAGCAUUUGGUUUUGUACAGACUUUUGGAAAAACCUGUAUUUACAAGAAAGUGAGUGGGAGCACUACAACAUUUCUGAUAAGUAUAUGUGAAUGACAUAUCAUUGAUCGGAAAUAAUGUAGAAUUAUUCUGCAAAGCAUAAAGGAGUGUUUGAAAGGAGUUUUUUAAAGAAAGACCUCAGUGAAGCUGCUUACAUAUUGAGCAUCAAGAUCUAUAGAGAUAGAUCAAAACGCUUGAUAAGUUUUUUCAAUGAGUACAUACCUUGACAAGAUUUUGAAGUAGUUCAAAAUGGAACAGUCAAAGAAAGGGUUCUUGCCUGUGUUACAAGGUGUGAAAUUGAGUAAGACUCAAAACCCGACCACGGCAGAAGAUAGAAAGAGAAUGAAAGUCAUUCCCUAUGCCUCGGCCAUAGGUUCUAUAAAGUAUGCCAUGCUGUGUACCAGAUCUAUUGUAUACCCUACACUGAUUUUGGCAAGGGAGUACAAUAGUGAUCUAGGAGUAGAUCACUGGACAUCGGUCAAAAUAAUCCUUAGUGGAAUAAGGAUAUGUUUCUCGAUUAUGGAAGUGACAAAAGGUUCCUCGUAAAGGGUUACGUCGAUGCAAGUUUUGACACUAAUCUAGACGACUCUAAGUCUCGGUCUAGAUACAUAUUGAAAGUGGGAGAAAUUAGCUAGAGUAGCUCCGUGCAGAGCAUUGUUGACAUAGAAAUUUGCAAAAUACAUACAAAUCUGAAUGUGGCAGACCCGUUGACUAAACUUCUCUCACAAGCAAAACAUGAUCACACCUUAGUACUCUUUAGGUGUUAAUCACAUAGCGAUGUGAACUAGAUUAUUGACUCUAGUAAACCCUUUGGGUGUUGGUCACAUGACGAUGUGAACUAUGGGUGUUAAUCACAUGGUGAUGUGAACUAUUGGUAUUAAAUCACAUGGUGAUGUGAACUAGAUUAUUGACUCUAGUGCAAGUGGGAGACUGAAGGAAAUAUGCCCUAGAGGCAAUAAUAAAGUUAUUAUUUAUUUCCUUAUAUCAUGAUAAAUGUUUAUUAUUGAUGCUAGAAUUGUAUUAACCGGAAACAUAUUACAUGUGUGCAUACAUAGACAAACAGAGUGUCACUAGUAUGCCUCUACUUGACUAGCUCGUUGAUCAAAGAUGGUUAUGUUUCCUAGCCAUAGACAUGAGUUGUCAUUUGAUUAACGGGAUCACAUCAUUAGGAGAAUGAUGUGAUUGCCUUGACCCAUUCUGUUAGCUUAGCACUCGAUCGUUUAGUAUGUUGCUAUUGCUUUCUUCAUGACUUAUACAUCUUCCUAUGACUAUGAGAUUAUGCAACUCCCGUUUACCGGAGGAACACUUUGUGUGCUACCAAACAUCACAACAUAACUGGGUGAUUAUAAAGGUGCUCUACAGGUGUCUCCGAAGGUACUUGUUGGGUUGGCGUAUUUCGAGAUUAGGAUUUGUCACUCCGAUUGUCGGAGAGGUAUCUCUGGGCCCUCUCGGUAAUGCACAUCACUUAAGCCUUGCAAGAAUUGUAACUAAUGAGUUAGUUGUGGGAUGAUGUAUUACGGAACGAGUAAAGAGACUUGCCAGUAACAAGAUUGAACUAGGUAUUGAGAUAGCAACGAUCGAAUCUCGGGCAAGUAACAUACCGAUGACAAAGGGAAUAACGUAUGUUGUUAUGCGGUCUGACCGAUAAAGAUCUUCGUAGAAUAUGUGGGAGCCAAUAUGAGCAUCCAGGUUCCGCUAUUGGUUAUUGACCGGAGACGUGUCUCGGUCAUGUCUACAAAGUUCUCAAACCCGUAGGGUCCGCACGCUUAACGUUUCGAUGACGGUUAUAUUAUGAGUUUAUGUGUUUUGAUGUACCGAAGGUAGUUCGGAGUCCCGGAUGAGAUCGGGGACAUGACGAGGAGUCUCGAAAUGGUCGAGACGUAUAGAUCGAUAUAUUGGACGACUAUAUUCGGACAUCGGAAAUGUUCCGAGUGAUUCGGGUAUUUUUUGGAGUACCGGAGAGUUACGGGAAUUCGCCGGGGAGUAUAUGGCCUUAUUGGGCUUUAGGGGAAAGAGAGAGGAGAGGCUGGACGUCCCCCAAGGCCUAGUCCGAAUUGGACUAGGGGGAGGGGUUGCGCCCCCUCCUUCCUUCUNNNNNNNNNNNNNNNNNNNNNNNNNNNNNNNNNNNNNNNNNNNNNNNNNNNNNNNNNNNNNNNNNNNNNNNNNNNNNNNNNNNNNNNNNNNNNNNNNNNNNNNNNNNNNNNNNNNNNNNNNNNNNNNNNNNNNNNNNNNNNNNNNNNNNNNNNNNNNNNNNNNNNNNNNNNNNNNNNNNNNNNNNNNNNNNNNNNNNNNNNNNNNNNNNNNNNNNNNNNNNNNNNNNNNNNNNNNNNNNNNNNNNNNNNNNNNNNNNNNNNNNNNNNNNNNNNNNNNNNGAAUCCUACUCCCGGUGGGAGUAGGACUCCCCCUUGGCGCGCCUCUCCCUGGCCGGCCGCCUCCUCCCCUUGCUCCUUUAUAUACGGGGGCAGGGGGCACCCCAUAGACACAACAAUUGAUCAUUGAUCUUUUAGCAGUGUGCGGUGCCCCCCUCCACCAUAGUCCACCUCGAUAAUAUCGUAGCGGUGCUUAGGCGAAGCCCUGCGUCGGUAGAACAUCAUCAUCGUCACCACACCUUCGUGCUGACGAAACUCUCCCUCAACACUCGGCUGGAUCGGAGUUCGAGGGACGUCAUCGAGCUGAACGUGUGCUGAACUCGGAGGUGCCGUGCGUUCGGUACUUGAUCAGUCGGAUCAUGAAGACGUACGACUACAUCAACCGCGUUGUGCUAACGCUUCCGCUUUCGGUCUACGAGGGUACGUGGACAACACUCUCCCCUCUCGUUGCUAUGCAUCACCAUGAUCCUGUGUGUGCAUAGGAUUUUUUUUGAAAUUACUACGUUCCCCAACAAUAUUACUCUUAUACCCUAAAAACAUCCAGGAGAGCCACGAAACACUUUUCCACCGCCGCAACCUUCUGUACCUAUGAGAUCCCAUCUUGGGGCCUUUUCCGGCGCUGCGCCGGAGGGGGAAUCGAUCACGGAGGGCUUCUACAUCAACACCAUAGCCUCUCCAAUGAUGUGUGAGUAGUUUACCACAGACCUUCGGGUCCAUAGUUAUUAGCUAGAUGGCUUCUUCUCUCUCUUUGGAUCUCAAUACAAAGUUCUCCUCGAUUCUCUUGGAGAUCUAUUCGAUCUAAUUCUUUUUGCGGUGUGUUUGUCGAGAUCCAAUGAAUUGUGGGUUUAUGAUCAAGAUUAUCUAUGAACAAUAUUUGAUUCUUCUCUGAAUUCUUAUAUGCAUGAUUUGAUAUCUUUGCAAGUCUCUUCGAAUUAUCAGUUUGGUUUGGCCUACUAGAUUGAUCUUUCUUGCAAUGGGAGAAGUGCUUAGCUUUGGGUUCAAUCUUGCGGUGCUCGAUCCCAGUGACAGAAAGGGAACCGACACGUAUUGUAUUGUUGCCAUCGAGGAUAAAAAGCUGGGGUUUAUAUCAUAUUGCUUGAGUUUAUCCCUCUACAUCAUGUCAUCUUGCCUAAUGCGUUACUUUGUUCUUAUGAACUUAAUACUCUAGAUGCAUGCUGGAUAGCGGUUGAUGUGCGGAGUAAUAGUAGUAGAUGCAGAAUCGUUUCGGUCUACUUGACACGGACAUGAUGCCUAUGUUCAUGAUCAUGCCUAGAUAUUCUCAUAACUAUGCACUUUUCUAUCAAUUGCUCGACAGUAAUUUGUUCACCCACCGUAAAAUAUGCUAUCUUGAGAGAAGCCUCUAGUGAAACCUAUGGCCCCCGGGUCUACUUUACAUCAUAUGAGUUUCCGAUCUAUUAUUCUAGUUUACUAUUUAUUUUGCAAUCUUUACUUUUCAAUCUAUACAACAAAAAUACCAAAAAAUAUUUAUCUUAUUAUCUUUAUCAGAUCUCAGUUUUGCAAGUGGCCGUGAAGGGAUUGAGAACCCCUUUAUCGUGUUGGUUGCAAGGUUCUUGAUUGUUUGUGCAGGUACUAGGCGAUUUGCGUGUAGUCUCCUACUGGAUUGAUACCUUGGUUCUCAAAAACUGAGGGAAAUGCUUACGCUACUUUGCUGCAUCACCCUUUCCUCUUCAAGGGAAAACCAAUGCAUGCUCAAGAGGUAGCAAGAAGGAUUUCUGGCGCCAUUGCCGGGGAGAUCUACGCUCAAGUCAAGACAUACCAAGUACCCAUCACAAACUCUUAUCCCUCGCAUUACAUUAUUUGCCAUUCGCCUCUCGUUUUCCUCUCCCCCACUUCUAGAAUGAUUUUCGAAAACCUUUGCCUUUUCUUCGCCUUCUUCCCGUAUGUAUCUUUGUUUGUGUUUCCAUGUGCCUUCUAUUUGCUUGCAUCUUUGCUUGCUAAAAAUCUGUUGAUCUGGAUCCACUUAAAGUGUUCUACUUAGAUCAUCUUCGAUCCUUAUGCGCUUGUGCUGAAACCCCAACUAGCCUAGUUGAUGGGAAAUCUUUAGAUGAGCAUGCUCAUUUUGCGCGUCACCGUUUGUCUGAAAAAGGGAGACUCUUAUGGGAUCAAAUAAACAGAUUGCUGUGUUAUGCUUGGAAUCUUUGUGAAAUUUAUGAUUUUACUUAUUGCUCUAAGAACCCUGAAAAACACCUCCCCUACCUCAGCCUGGGCGUUCGGUCUUUUCGGUUUGUUCGGUUCGGUCUUUUCGGUCUUUCAAGAAUUCGGUCUUCCAUAAUUGAAGACCGAAAUAAUUUCGGUCUUUUCGGUUUUCCACUAUUCGGUCUUCGGUCUUUACAUACCAAUGUUCGGUCCCAACCAAACAGACCAAAUUUAGUGACACAACUCAGAUUCAUAUACAUUACUUCCAGUAUUUGCACAUAUUUAUUUAUGCAAAAUUGAGACAACAAAUGUAUGUACAUUGGUGCGUGUGUGUAUAAGAAAAAUUAGACAAGUGUUAGACAACAAAAGUAUGUAACAGGCUAACAUCACAAAUUCUGAACAAUAUAGCUUUGCACAUACAUAAGUAUGCAUUAACAUAGGUACGCACACACAUUCAAUAAUCUGGACAUGACACAAGGCUCUGCACUUAGGCAUUAUUGGCCGAUCUGAUGCACUCAUGCACAUACAUAAGAGUCACUUGCUCAUCUUCAAGCUUCAGUUGCGAGGUAAAGCACCGGAAAAGGAGAGUAGGCGGCAGCCAGCUUGGAAGAGACGGUGGCGACGGAUUGACGCCAGUGCAGCAGCGUGGAAGGGGACGGGAUCUGAAGCACCACUGGCGGAUGGCGAUUCGCAGGCUGUGGAGCGAUGUACGGGAGGUUGGGUUGCCGGGCGGUCGUCACUGGUCACGGCAGCAGAUCGGCGCGGAUCUCACCGGUCAUGGCCGCGGAUCGGAGCGCUCCUUGGGGAGGCGGUCGUCACGGGGCCUCGUCUCUUAGCGGCGGCUAGGGUUGGUCAUUGGCAGAGAAGGGGGAGGAACGAGAGUGAGGCUGCGGUUCGUGCCUCUGUGUCGCUCGUCGUGAGGAGGUGAGGUAGUGUCUUGCUCGUGAGGAUUGGGCUAGCCAGUUGGGCCUUAGGUAAACAUUGUUGUGCGUGUGGGCUUUUAAAAUAGAUCGGUCUAUAUGGUCUUUUCGGUCCUGCAGGGUAGGGGACCGAUUUGACCGUAUUAAAUUUGGUCAUGUAGUUUUGCAGACCAAAGUUUAUUCAGCCUUUUUUAGUUCGGUCUUUUCGGGUUCGGUCUCGGUCUUUUCGGGUUCGGUUUUCGGUCUUCGGUUUUUAUGCCCGGGGUGACCCCUACCUAUGUGAGUUUAAUGAUAAUGAAAUCUUAUCUUCUUAUGCAAAGGGUGUUUAUAGUUAUUACGAUAUCGAACAAAUUGAAGAAUUUGUUGCUUUUAAGGGUGCUUAUGAAGUUGCUUCUUUGAUUGAAAAGUAUGAUAUUACUCUCUACGAAUCUGAAAAUUUUGACAUACUUAAAUAUUGCUAUGAAAACUAUGCUCAUAAUGUCUAUGUCAAAGAAUUUAUUGAAAGAAUGACCGUUGCUUCUGAAGAAAAUAAUGAUAUGCAUGAAUCUAUGGAUAAUUAUGAUUCCGAUGAUUUGAUUGAAAUAUCCCUUGAUGAACUUGAUGCUUGCUAUUCUUGUGGCCAUGAUGCCAAUAUUUAUGAAGAUGAAUUUGCUACAGUUCCUUAUGUUAAACAUGAGAUCGUUGCUAUUGCACCCAUACUUGAUAGUUCCUUCGAUGAAAAGCAUGAUUGCAAUGAUGUUAUUAUAAAUUCUCUUGAUGUCAAUUGUGCUAAUAAUAUGCAAAACCCUAAGCUUGGGGAUGCUAGUUUUGCUAUGUCUACUACUUGUUGCAAUGAUCAUGAUUGGGGUGAUUCUUCUUAUGAUCUUGAAAAUUUAUUUAAGCCCCAUGAUGAAUAUGAGGUUGAUAAUAAUGUUUACAAUAAUAUUGAAAGUGGGUUUGGAAGAGUGUCAACUUUAGAUCCCACAUAUUUGGAGAAUGUUCAAUCAUAUGAAGUUGUUGAUAAAAGUGGGUUUGGAGAGGUCAUGACUUUAGUUAAUGUUAAUCCCACUAUUUUGGAAGAGUGUCAACUUUGCAUACAUGUGGAUCGUGUUAAGAAUAUGUUUUGUCAUAGCUAUAUUGUUGAAUUUUAUUAUGAUCCUACAUGUAAUUAUUAUGAGAGAGGAAAAUAUGGUUGUAGAAAUUUUCAUGUUACUAAAUUACCUCUCUUUAUGUUGAGAUUGCUAUUGUUUCUUUCCGCUUUGUUGCAUAUGCUAGUUUUUGCUUGCCUUGAUAAUUUGUUUGCCUAUAAGAUGCCUAUGCAUAGGAAGUAUGUUAGACUUAGAUGUGUUUUUCAUAUACUAUAUGAUGCUCUCUUUGUGCUUCAAAUCUUGUCUUUCAUGUGAGCAUCAUCGAAAUUAUCAACGAUAGCGCUUGUUGGGAGGCAACCCAAUUUUAUUUUUGUUCCUUGCUUUUUGUUCCUGUUUAGUAAUAAAUAAUUCAUCUAGCCUAUGUUUAGAUGUUGUUUUAUGUUUUAAUUAGUGUUUGUGCCAAGUAGAACCGUUGGGAAGACUUGGGUGGAGUCUUUGUGAUCUUGCUGUAAAAAACAGAAACUUUACCGCUCACGAGAUUAGCUGCCAUUUUUUACUGGAGAGUGAUUUUAGGUUGAUUCUUUUUUCAGAUGGUUAAUAGAUAAAUUCCUCACGUCCACAAAUUUAUUUCAGAAUUUCUUAGCUUCCGUGCUACAGCUAGAUCUUCCCCUCGUUUCUGUUUUCCAACUUGGCGGCGGGCGGGGUGCGGUUUGCCAAUACUCGGUUUGCUCAAUGGCGGUCCCACAUGAAAGUGAAAUGCUAGGCAACAUGCCUUCCCUAGCUAUGUGGCAUGCUGGACGGGCCGUGGAGUACUCCCGAUUCCCAGGUGUGUGGGGGUGCGACGCGAACGCGGCAGGCCUUUUCCUUUUACUCGCAAUGUGCCCGUGCGUUGCGAUGGAUCCAAAGUAGUAGAAUAGUAGUACUUAUUCACAAACUUGAAAGAAAUCACUCUUGUUUUGAUAUACUCGUAAUAUAUUACUUUUCACUUGUCGGGGGUUGGGUGCGACAUAUGCCAAGGGAUGACUUAUCAUGGUGGGAGCGAGUAGAACGUCACCGGUGCCUGGAAGCAGGAUGAGGCGUAGACACGAACGCCGGCGCACUUUACCCAGGUUCGGGGCUCUCCUAGGAGAUAACACCCCUAGUCCUGCUCUGCGGGGUCUCGGCAUGAUCACUAAGGCACUAGUGAGUACAAUGGUGCUCCUCGAGUUGUUUGCUAGAGGUGGAAGAAAGCAAGGCUUGCCCUCUCCUCUCUCUAUGGGUCGGUCUAGUUCUAACAGGUUUGGAAUCCUUUGCAUGGGUGCCCUGGGGGGUUUAUAUAGGCCUACCCCCAGGCGUACAAUAGUAAUCCGGCCGGGUGGAGGACCCGGCUGUCAGUCUCUCUGGUGGCCGGCUUCUCCGCGGCUGCUGGGGCCCGCCGCCUGGUGGGCCCCGCCGACUGGUCUGGUACGGAGCCGACAGGCCGCCCCCGCCGCUCACGGGUCUUGUCGGCUGCUGAUCACUAUAGCCGUGAUGCUAAUGACGCAGGCUCGAUCACGGGAGCGUGGCUACAGCCCCGCCGCCUGGCGGCGAUUACUGUAGCCACUCUGUGUCUUGUCUGGUUAAUGGCGCGCGGGUCCCGAGGAAGGGGCGGGCCGACUGCUGGGGGCCGACCUCCCUCGGAUCCGACUGGUGGGGCUCUAGCCGUCUUCCGGGCUCUCGCUGAUCGGUGGGGCCCGUCGUCCUUGGGCCGUACCGACAUGCCAUCGUGGGAGCAGGGCUCCGCCUGCUUGUGGUGACGUCAGGGGUGGAGUGGCAACAGUAUCGCGCCGGACGGAGAUCUCCGCCGGUACGGUGCACUGUAGCCACGCCCAUCCCUGGAUUCGGGAGGGAUGGGCUAUACUGUAGCCACUCCCUGUCUUGUCUUUCUUGAUGAGGGCGCAGGCUUCGUGGGCGCCUCGGGCCAGCUGCUAGGGGCUGGCUUCUCUGGAAGCCGCCUACUAGGAGUCGGCUUGUCUUGAUGUCGGCUUCUGGAACUCGGCCGUCUACGGGCAGCCGGCUAUCCCUCCAGCCGGCCACCAGAAGGCGACACUUCGUCUUGGUGCUUUGAGGGGCGCAGCCAACCCCGAUGUCUUGAAAGGUUCUGGAUCUCGGGUUAGCCUACCCGUGGUCCAUUACUCCGACUGUAGUCCCCGAAGCUGGUGAGGUGCCGCGGCUGAGCAGUCGAGGAGCCUCAGCAGUUUCUUUCUCCGAGGGCUUGAGGUGGAGCUUCGUCCGACUUCUGCCGAGCCGACUGGCGGGAGUCGGCCUCGCCCAGCCUGACUUAUCCAAACUUUGAACGCGUUGGCGGGAACCAAGUGGCGUGCUAGCUAAGCCUCCAGGCCGCCGCCAGUUGUGGGCACGUCACGUGGCGCCGAGCAGCCGGGCCAGUCUGCCAACCCACGCUCGCGAUGGGACACGCCUGCUGGCGGGGCCCGCCACUACCAUGCCUCGGCAUGCGAGCGGAUCCGCUGUGGCCGAGGUGGGCGGUUGAGUUUCCCGCGGAGUUACUGCGCGCAGUAACUCGCGCGAUAAACGUGGGGGCGUGGGGUCAUGGGCGCAGUAAAUCCCACGAUCGCCCCCUCGGCUUCGCAGCCCGUAGGCCUAUAAGUAGGGGAAGGAGGGGGAGCGGCGGAGCACACGCGCCCCUCCUCCCCAUUCUUUCCUCCUUCUUCUUCCUCUCGCCGUAGCGCCUCCAAGCCACGCUGAGCGCUGUGGUGGUUCGUCUCCGAUGAGCUCAUCUUCCAAUCCCACGCCCUCCAUGGCGUGCUCCGGAGCAUGGGACGGCUCCGAAGUUCAUGACGACCACAUCGACUUCCUCCGCCAGACGCGGCGGCUGCCCGAAAAAGAUUACGUGAAGGUCCGCCUCGCGCCGAAGAGGGAGAUCUCGCCGCCGCCGGAGGAGGGCGAGCGGGUCGUCUUCCGCUCGCACUGCCUGCGCGGCCUCGGCCUGCCGGCGAGCAGCUUCUUCCGAUCCUUCCUUGAGUUCUACGGUCUUCAGCCGCACCACCUCACCCCGAACACGGUGGUGCUGUUGUCCGCCUUCGUCACUCUAUGCGAAGGCUUCCUCGACGUCCUCCCCACCAUCGAGCUCUGGGGAGAGUUUUUCUACAUGAAGCUCGGCACCCUCGUCGCGGGCGUGCUGGCUCAAUGCGGCGCGUUUAUCGCGGUGCGGAGGCCGGUGGCCGAAAAUCCGUUUCCUCCCAUCCCGCUGAUCAAGUCGGUGAAGAUGUGGCAGCAGUCGUACUUCUACGUGAAGAGCGUCUUCCCGGAGGGCGACUGGGUCAACUUGCCGGCUUACGAAGCCGACGCGCCGGCUGGGAGGCGGCCCAACUGGCCGUACCGGGCCAAGACACUGUCACCUUCUGGAGCCGCUGUCAUCGCGCGGCUCCGAGUGUUGACACAGUCGGAGGGCCUGACCGGGCCCGACUUGCUGUCCGCCUUUGUGGCGCGCCGAGUGCUCCCGCUCCAGGGCCGCCAACAUAUGAUCUGUCAGAUGAGCGGGCAUCGGGACCCAAGCCGGCUGUGCACCAAGGGGAUGCCUCACACAGAGGUAGCUCACAUGGUGAACUAUCUUGCGAACUGUGAGCUCACGGAGGAGUGGCGGUUUGGCAAGGAGCCUAUUCACGCGCCGACCCCUCGCCUAUGGUAAGUUAUCUUUCUUUUUCUCUACCCUCUUUGUUACCGAGUUUGGCCUGUCCAACCUGACCAAUCGGCCUUUGAACAGAGCCCCCCCUCCAGCCGGUAGCCGGCGCCGCGGGGCCGGAGCGCCAAUUCCUCCCCGACCGAGCGGAGAGCGACGUCGACGACCCCGACUUGGGGGCGGCGGCCUUGGAGGACGACACCGAGGGAGGAGGCGGCGAAGCAGGCGGCUCGAGGCUCGGAGCCAGCCUCAAGGACUGGCUCGAUGAUGAUGUGGGGGAAGUCACCCCGCACCACCAGCCAGGGUACGGCCAGCCAGGCGCGAGCUCGUCUGCCGCGCCAGAUGCCCAAGGCGGCGCGAAAAAACGCAGGGCCGCGCCGAGCUUGUUCGGCAGCCGGCCGAAGAAGCCCAAGGGCUCGGCCGUGGCGACCAAGCGGGAUGAAGCGGCCGCGAAGGCCAUCCGCUUCUGCAAGGCGGUGAAGGAGCCGCAGCUGGUUUCCGCGUAAGUACCGCCUUCAUCUCGUACUUUCUCCUUCCUCGCCGAUCUUGUCUGAGUUUUUUUUUGUUUCCUUUGAUCUAGGGCUCCGAUUCUCUUGAGAAGUCGGCCGCCGCCUCCAUCGCGGGGUCGGCGGAGACUUCCACCACCACUCGGCGGAUCAAUCCGGCCGCCGACCUCCGGGAGGCGACGGAGCGGAACGCGCGGGAAGCGCGCGAGGAGUAGGAAGCCGCCCGCCUGGUGAAGGCGGAAGCGGAGAAGGCGGAGGCCGCCGCCCUGAAGAAACUGGCGGAGGCCGAGGCAGCCGAUGCGGCGAAGAAGCAGGCCGAGGAAGCUGCGCACUGCCAAUCGGCUAUAUUCAUCACCCCCCUGAACUCCGCGCCGCCACCACCGGAGUUCGUGGCGCAGACUGGGGAAGCCGGCGACGAGCACCCGAUCAUGGAGAGGGACGGCGGCGACGUCGCCAUGCCGGACGUGAUCGUGCGUCCACCGCCGCCGUCUGGGAACGCGCAAGGCGAGCAGCCGGCGGACCCGUCGGUGCCGCCAGCUGGAAACAAGGUGGCGACGGGCCCGACUCCUGAGGUCGGCACACCGACGCGCCGCCGACUUGCAAAGGCGGCUUCGGCGCCACGCCAGCUAGAGACCGGCGCCGUGAGCUCCUCGAUCCCGGACACCGAGGCAACCAGCGCCGCGCCCACUAGGUGGGUGCGGGGAGGCGAGACGGGCCCUCUGAACAAGGCGAUCCUGGAUGUUCAAGCCAAACUCCGCGCCGAGGCCGACGCUAUCAAGCACUGCAACAAGACGUUCCUGGCAUCGCGAGAGGCCAUCCGGGCACGCUUCUUGCUUCUUCGUUUUAACUCUUGUAUUGCUUCAUGGGGGCGCGUCAGCGCACCCACUGGGUGUAGUCCCCGAGUUCCGGGCCGGCUGCUGAGCAUGCGGCUCGGAACUUUAAAUAGCAGGCUCUAAGCACUGGUAUCCUUGCUGCAGGAUUAUCAUAACCUCCGUGCGGCCGCCUUCAACUCCAAAGUCCAGGAGUUGGAUCAACGUGCUGCCGACUUGUCGGAGAGCCGAAGUAAGUCCUUUUCUUUCUCUGCGGGGGCGCGCUGGCGCACCCGCGGGCUGUAGUCCCCGAGAUUCGGGCCGACUGCUGAGCAGUCGGGCCGGAUCUCCCGGCAACUGUUCUUCUUUCUGCUGGUUACUAACGCCUUUCCCUUCUUCUUUUCUUCUGCAGAGGCCAACGCCGUCUUGCAGCAGCAGCUGGGCGAAGCCAACACCGCGUUGCGCGCUAAGGAGGAGGAGUGCGGCAAGCUGGCUGAAGAGCGUGACCGGCUGGUCGCGUAACUGGCGGAGCAGGCGGAGCUUCUCAAGAAGGCCCAGACGGAGGCGGAGGACAAGGAGACCGGCCUCGCUGCUGAGUUCGCGACCGAACCCUCCGCCUGGACCGACAAGGAGGCGAUGUUGACUUCCGGCUUUCACGAGAUUGAAGACAUAGUUGACGGUGAGCUUCCCUCUUUUUCCUUCUUUGAGCUGCGGACUGCUGGUCGAGCGGGCCUCUUGUCUCUGACUUCGGCUCUUUGCUUUCUGUCUUGGCAGACUUCUUCCCUGGUCACUCUGACGCCGCCAAUCAGGCCAUUGAAGCUGAUCGCAAAGGACGGAGGGCAGAAGGUGUGCAGAUCGCUGCCGACGCCCCCGAACCCUUAGCGAGCAGCUCAUGAGCAUCGAGGCCCGUCUUCGGCCGGCUCACCGGAUGCUACGCCGUCUUCAGCGUGUCGGUGCCCAGGCGAUCGCUGCCCUGUGGCCGGAUAUGCCGGCACCACGCACUCCUAGUCGGACUGCCGACUGGCUGGAGGUGGCGGCCGGCCGUCUUGAGGCCUGGAAGGGCUCCUCGGCCCGGGCUAGAGCGCGCCGGGCCUUGGAAUUCGUCAAGGCGUGGUACCCUGGGCUGAGUCUAGCCCAGCUGGCCACGUUUCGGGUGGAGGCUCAGGAGGAGUUGGCGGUCGUGGAAGAUGACCUUGCCAAGCGCACGGCGGCAAUCGCCGAGUACACCGACACCAGUGUCUUCGUCCCAGAGCGGGUUGAGAACGGCGCCGAGGCACCACCAGAAUGGUUCGGGCUGAACCCGGAGGACGACGAGGACUCGACCGAGGUGAUCGGCUCCAGCGGCAAGGAAGAAGGCGAGGAGGAGGAGGAAGGGGAAGAGGAGGUGCCAGAGGUCGGAGCGGACGGCCAGCCUCAGCUCGACCGCGCCUCCAGCAACGAGCCACUCCCAAGCGAGCCGGCUACCACUUGAGGCGACCAAGCGGAGACUGACCAGCCGGCCGCUCCACCAACCGGCGCCACCGACUCCUCCGAUCCACCGAAUCCAUCUGCCGCUCCCUAGGCCGCCAGUUCAUCUUUUGCUUUACCUGCCUAUCAGUCUCGACGAACUUGUUAAUUUUGCACAAUUCCACCCGCGGGGUGUAUCUCAAACUUCUGUUGAAUAUCGGACAAGGGCCUUUUGCUAUGUAAAAUAUUUUUCCGAGUUAUAUCUUUCCUUGCUUUCUGCUCUUUUGGCUUUUCCCUUUGCCGCCCUCCCUUAGUUGCCGUCUUGCCAGCCGAACAGCCGCUCUGCGGACUGUGGCUGGGUCAAGUACUUAGCUACUUUCGGGAAGGCAAGUACUUAGCCGAUUUAGAACGUUUUAGCAAGUUAAGUAGAAGCCAGCCGGCCGGCUGCUCAACAGCCGGUCGUAGAAGGCGGGAAGCCGGUUUAAACUAUGCACAUGCUUUGGGUCCUUAGCCAUUUUUCAAGUGGGCACCCAUUCUGCCUUACUCCUGCCUACCAGACAGUCGCUCCGCGAGCUGCGGGUUUAGCAGGAGACGGAUUAAGUGCCAACACAUUACUUGUCCGGCUGCAGGAAGCAUUUCAUAGUAUAAGGCGGCGAGUCCCCGGGCCGACUAGUCGGACCCGGUGCCAAGCGGCAUAAAGAAAAUGACACAUUCAUAGGCAUAAUUCUUAUCAUAUAGACAAAAGAGGGCAGUCCCCGAGCUCUUCUCGGGGGACCCGGAGUCUUCGUACUUUAAUACAAAAGGUAGCGUGGUACAUACUGCAUGAACUGUAAAAUCUUCGGAGGAGAUUUGCAUUCCAUGGCCGCUCUGUCUCCUUGCCGGAGUCGUCCCUCUUGCGCACUUGAGGCUUCUGGGCGUCGAUCAGGUAGUAGGAGUCGUUUCCCAACACCUUGCUGAUGAUGAAGGGGCCUUCCCAAGGCGCUGAGAGCUUGUGCUGGCCGGCUGUUCGCUGGAUCAGCUGGAGCACAAGGUCUCCCUCUUGGAAAGAUCUCGGCUUGACCUUCCGGUUGUAGUAUCGGCGCAGGCUCUGCUGGUAGAUGCUGGACCAGCUGAGUGCCAACAGCCGACCCUCUUCCAGUAGAUCGACGCCGUCUUGUCGCGCUUCUUCUGCCUCCUCUUCGGUGUACAUGGUGACUCGAGGAGAGUCGAAUUCUAUGUCCGUCGGGAUGACGGCUUCGGCACCGUAGACGAGGAAGAAAGGCGUGAAGCCGGUUGACUUGUUCGGAGUUGUGCACAGGCUCCAGAGGACGGCUGACAGCUCGUCGAGCCAGCAGCCGGCCGAAUGCUCCAGAGGCUCGACCAGUCGGGGCUUAAUGCCGGACAAAAUGAGGCCGUUUGCUCGCUCCACCUGGCCGUUUGACUGCGGAUGGGCAACGGACGCUAAGUCCAGUCGGAUGCCCUACGUCGCGCAGAAACGGGCCAAGGCGCCUUUGACAAAGUUCGUGCCAUUGUCGGUGAUGAUGCUGUGCGGUAUGCCAUACCGGAUGGUGAUGUCGGAGAUGAAAGUCACAGCCGUCGGACCAUUCAAUUUCUUGAUUGGUUUUGCUUCUAUCCACUUGGUGAACUUGUCCACUGCGACAAGCAGAUGAGUCAUGCCACCUCGUGCUGUUUUGAAUGGUCCCACCAUGUCCAGGCCCCAGACAGCAAAGGUCCAGGCAAUGGGGAUAGUCUUGAGUGCAGAACCCGGCUGAUGUGGCUUGGAGCGGAACUUCUGGCACCCUUUGCAUUUCUGGACCAAAUCUUUGGCGUCUUCUAAAGCAGUCGGCCAGAAAAAACCGUGGUGAAAAGCUUUGGCCACGAGUGCUCUUGAAGCCGCGUGAUGACCACACCCGCCUUGAUGAAUAUCUUUGAGGAUUGCUUGGCCUUGCUCCAGCUCUACACAGCGCUGGUAGACACCAGUGACACUGUGCCUCACGAGCUCUCUGUUGACUAUGGUGUAUGCUGCUGCCCGGCGUUGCACUUGCCAGGCCGAGAUCUCAUCCAUCGGUAGCUCUUUGUUUACCAAGAAGUUGAGGAUGGGCUGGGCCCAUGAAGGUGCUGCAAUUUCUUCGACUGCUAGGACUGCAACUUGCACGAGGGCGGUUGGGCCGGGAGGCGGCGGGUUGGAAUCAGCUGCAGCUUGCUGAGUCGAUGAAGUCCCCGGGCCGACUGCUGCAGUCCCCGGGCCGGGCUCUGAAGUCCCUGGGCUGACCACUGCAGUCCCCGGGCCGGGUUCGACUGCCGCGGCCCCCGGGCUGCCUGCCGGAAUUCCCGUGCUGGCUGCUGCGGCUCUCAAGUCGGAUCCAACUGCUUCAGGAGGAGCCGGCACGAAGAUGGAAUCCGACUUUGGCGAUGGCUUGACAGACGGCUUGAGGAGGCAUUGCAGGGCGACGCCGGUUGGUAUUGCUUGCCGGGUGGAGCCGAUUCGUGCCAAGGCAUCUGCUUGCUCAUUGUCACUUCUUGGCACAUGGAGGAACUCGCACCCUUCAAAGUAUCCGCUGAGUUGCUGGACGAGGAAGCGGUAGCUAGCCAUGUUUGCAUCUUUGGCAUCCCAGUCGCCCGACGACUGCUGGACCACCAAGUCAGAGUCACCAUAGCACAGGAUCCGGCGAAUGCUGAGUUCUUUGGCAAGCCGGAGCCCGUUAAUGAGUGCUUCAUAUUCAGCGACGUUGUUGGAGGCGGCAAAAUGGAUUUGCAGCACAUAUCUGAGCUUGUCGCCUUUGGGAGAGGUGAGGAUGAUGCCGGCUCCUAAACCGGUACGCAUCUUGGAACCAUCAAAGUGCAUCCGCCAAUGGGUGGAGUCCGGCACUGGUGGCAGGUACUGGGUCUCGGCCCAGUCGACGAGGAAGUCGGCCAGUGCUUGUGACUUGAUGGCGGUGCGGGGUUGGUAGUAGAUGGUGUAGGGGGCCAACUCUAUGGCCCAUUUAGCCACUCGGCCUGAGGCAUCCCGGCUUCCAAUGAUCUCGGCAAGCGGAGCAGUGCAGACAACAGUGACUGGGUGCUCUUGAAAAUACGGCUUCAAUUUCUUGGCGGCAAAGUGCACACCGUAGCACAUCUUCUGAUAGUGGGGGUAGUUUUGCUUCGAGGCUAACAGCACUUCACUCAAGUAAUACACCGGUCUCUGGACCGGUAGUGCCUUGCCUUCCUCCUUGCGCUCUACCAUUAUGACUGUACUGACCACCCGGCUGGUGGCGGCGAUGUAGAGGAGCAUGGGCUCCUUAGGAGUCGGAGCCGCCAGGACAGGUGGAGUAGUCAGCAUCUUCUUGAGCUGGAGAAAAGCUUCAUCUGCCUUGUCGUUCCACUCAAAAAAGUGGUCUUCUUCAUGAGCUGGUACAGGGGAAGAGCCUUCUCUCCCAGCCGACUGAUGAAACGGCUGAUGGACGCCAAGCAGUCGGUGAACUUUUGUACGUCGAGCAAUCGGGUGGGCACUUCCAUCCUCUCGAUGGCCUUGAUCUUCACAGGGUUGCACUCUAUGCCGCGCUCUGAGACCAGGAAGCCAAGGAGCUGGCUGGCCGGUACUCCGAAGACGCAUUUCUCCGGGUUGAGCUUGAUUUGAAAUCGGUGCAAGUUCUCAAAGGCCUCCUUGAGGUCUUCUAGCAGCGUUCCACGCUUCUCCGUCUUCACCACAACAUCGUCCACAUAAACGUGGGCGUUCCUGACGAGUUGCUUGAGGAGGCACUUCUGCAUGCAACGUUGAAACAUGGCGCCGGCAUUCCUCAAGCCGAACGUCAUGGUCAAGUAGCAGAAGGCUCCAAAUGGUGUGAUGAAGGCGGUCUUCAGCCUGUCGGCCGGGUUCAGCUUGAUCUGGUGAUACCCUGAGUAUGCGUCCAAAAAACUCAACAGCUCGCAUCCGGCUGUGGAGUCUAUCACUUGGUCAAUUCUCGGCAAAGCAAGGUCUUUGGGGCAGGCUUUGUUGAGGCUGGUGUAGUCAAUACACAUGCGCCACUGCUUGUUUUUCUUCAGCACAAGGACUGGGUUGGCCAGCCACUCUGGAAAAAACACUUCCAUGAUGAAGCCGGCUGCCAGCAGCCGGGCUAUCUCUUCUCCAACGACUCUUAUCUUCUCUUCUGACAGGCGGCGCAAGGGCUGCCUGACUGGCUUGGCAUCGGACCGGACAUGUAACUUGUGCUCGGCGAAAUCCGUCGGAACACCCGACAUGUCUUUAGGUGACCAUGCAAAGAUGUCCCGAUUCUCACGGAGGAAAUCGACGAGCUCGCCUUCCUAUUUGCUAUCAAGGUUUGCACCUAUGACAGCGUACCUCUCCGGGUGCUCCGGGUCCAAGGGUAUCUUCUUUGUCUCUUUGGCCGGCUUGGACGAGCCCUCGGCUUCCGAUUCCUUGGGGUUGGGUGACAUUUCCGGCUGCUUGCCUGCCAUCGCCACAACUCGGUCAAGGAGCCGCUUCUCAGCUGCGAUCGCAAGGGACUCGGCCAGCCGGCUGCUAUCUGCUGCGCAAGCGGGCGACUUCUUGUAAUCCCCUGCUAUGGUCAGAAUUCCCUUGGAACUUGGCAUAUUCAUCUUGAGGUAAGCAUAGUGGGGGACCACCAUGAACAUGGCCAGAGCAGGCCGGCUAGGUAGUGCAUGGUAUGGGCUCUCAAGGUCCACCACUUCAAACCAGACCGGCUCUCGGCGGAAGUGAUCUUUGUCUCCAAAGAGGACGUCUAUCUAGAUCUUGCCGAUUGGUGAGCAGGAAAGGCCAGGUACUAUGCCGUGGAAUACAGUCCGACUGGGCUGAAGCUGCCUUUGUUUGAUUUCUAACUUCUCCAUGGUAUCCUUGUACAGGAUGUUGAUGCUGCUGUCGCCAUCUAUCAGAACUCGGGAAAAACGAGCAGCUCGCCUCUCUGUGGCAAAAGUGGCACCCAGAACCAGGGCGUAGGAGCCGGGAUUGGGCAUUACUUCUGGGUGGUCAGCUCUGCUCCAGCUGAUGGGCUUCUCGGACCAAUGCAUGAACUCGGGGGUCUCGGAUGCCACCGCAUUCACUUCUUGCUGUCGUUGCCGCCUGCUGUGCUUAUCGUCGGCCACGCUGGUGAACACGACAUAAGCUCCGUGCUCUUCAGGAUACUCGUCUUAUAUGGCUCCGACUGGUCGAACCGCCGGCUGCUGGGGGGGAGGAGGAGGCGGCUGCCCAGCAGGCGGAGGAGGCAGAAGGCCGUCACCCUUGGCGGUCCUGGUGUGCCAAUGGCACUUUUCGAGUGGUGUGGUUGGACGGCUUCGCACCACUGUGGAACUUGCAGGGCGCAUCGAGGGUCUGCUCAUAUGAGAAAGCGGGCAGCCAAUUGGGCUUGCCGCCCUUCUGGCGCUUAGAUGGAGGCUGCCCUUCCGGCUGUUGGUCUUCGACUGUCUCCACCUACCGGCUUGUAGAAGCCGGCUGCGCGGCCUUGCGUUUGUUGUUGUUGGGUUGCUGACGCUGACUGGUGUCACCAGCCGGGGCCCGAGGAGCUGGAGGAGCCACUUUGCCAGAUGCAUCAACUUGGAUCUCUGCCUUCAUGGAGGAGUCAGUCGUGGCGUAUUUAUCUGCUAUGACCAGCAGCUCGUCGAGGGUCGCCGGCUUGUCGCAGAGAAGCCUAUGCUUGAGAAGGGUGCAAUCUCGGCACCCGGCGAUGAAGUACUCGAUGGCCUGCACCUCGUGCACACCUUCGCAAGAGUUGCGGAGCUCGGCCCAGUGCGUGAGGUAGUCACGAGUCGACUCGUUGGGGCCUUGGACACACAAGGAGAGCUACCGAGGCUUGGGUGGCCGCUUGUAUGUGCUGGUGAAGUUGCGGAUGAAGGCUUCGGUGAAAUCGACCCAGCUGUUGAUGCUGCGGGGUUUCAGGCUGUUCAGCCAUGUCCGGGCCGUGCCCUGGAGCAUGAGCGGAACAUACUUCACGACAACGCGCUUGUUGCCGUUCGCGAUGCUGACGGCUGUGGAGCAGCCAGUCGUCCGGCUUCACGGAGCCGGUGUAUUUGGGCGUGUCUCUCGGGAGCAUGAACCCUUUGGGGAAGGGCUCAUCUUGAAUGCGGGGGCCAAAGCAAGGCGGACCCAGCUCAUCUUCUUCUUCUAGCACCAGGGAUCGGUUGAGACGGUCGAUCCGGUGGCGGGCAUCGUUCUCUCCGACUCCUUCUCGGCGGCCAAGGCGGUCGCCGAGUGUCGGGUGUUCAACAGGCGGCGGGGAGACGCGCCUUUCCCGGCGAGGGGGAGGAGGCGGACAGUCAUCCCGUCGUCCUACUGCUCUUGGGCGGCCGUCUUGGUCGCGCUCGAUGGUGAGGCGAGUCCGGCUGCGGCUGGCAGCCGGCUCCUUGUCUCUUCUUCCGCGGACGCCACCAGUCGGCGUCCGGGAUGUCGCGCCUUGAUCUCGGUGGGGAGGCGGAUCGUCAUUCUGCCGGUUGGGAGCCUCAGUACGGCAGCCGGCCUCGUGCUGCUUAGCAGCUGCGUCGAGGAGUCGCUAGACGCGCUCCGCCAUCUGGCGACGCUCUUCGCCCUCAAACUUGUCCAGCUCUUCUGCGGGCGUGGCGUAGACGGGGCGAUUUGCCCCGAAUAGGCUGGCAAUGGCCGCGCCGCGUUGCUGGACCAUGCUGAUGCGGCUAGGCCCACCAGGAGCCGGCGUGCCACCCACAGCACGGUCCAUCUCGCGCUGGUAGGCCUCCGACAGGCGUCUCAUGUUGGCCAGAUUCUUGGCUCUCUCGACUAGCUGGGCGCAGCGUGCUUCCAGCAUCUCGGCAUCGGCGUCUUCUGGAAUGGGCGCCGUCAGGUCUUGCAGUGCCGCAUCGAGCGGGUCAUGAGCACCUCCGCCGGAGUGCUCGCUGUGGCUGAUGACAAGCACCUCCGUGAUGACGCUUCCGCCGCUCUCCGCGCGAGGAAGUGGCUCAUCGUAGACCACCACGUUGGUGGGGAACGCGUCAAGCGACGCAGUGUCGGAGUCGACAAGCAUCGGGUCGGUGGAUCCUACAGACUCCAAGUCCACAGCAGGCUCGCUGGUGACGCGGAGCUGAUCGAGGAGGCUCGCAAGGCGGCUCACAGGGCCUUCGGUGCCCGCGUCAGACGCGGGCUUGUCGGAGAGGCGAACCUCGCCAACAAGAUCGGCGAGGCAGCUCGCCGCGCAAGCGACCUUCGCGCCAUGCAACGCGUCAACGCAGACUCCGUCUGGCAUGCCAGGCUGGCUGCACUCGCCAGGGAGGAAAAUGGUUCCCGUCCAGAGCAGGUCUCCGGACGACGGUGCACCCCACCCCACGGUGGGCGCCAAAUGUCGGGGGUUGGGUGCGACAUAUGCCAAGGGAUGGCUUAUCAUGGUGGGAGCGAGUAGAACGUCGCCGGUGCCUGGAAGCGGGAUGAGGCGUAGACACGAACGCCGGCGCACUUUACCCAGGUUCGGGGCUCUCCUAGGAGAUAACACCCCUAGUCCUGCUCUGCGGGGUCUCCGCAUGAUCACUAAGGCACUAGUGAGUACAAUGGUGCUCCUCGAGCUGUUUGCUAGAGGUGGAAGAAAGCAAGGCUUGCCCUCUCCUCUCUCUAUGGGUCGGUCUAGUUCUAAUAGGUUCGGAACCCUUUGCAUGGGUGCCCUGGGGGGUUUAUAUAGGCCUACCCCCAGGGGUACAAUAGUAAUCUGGCCGGGUCUAGGACCCGGCUGUCAGUCUCUCUGGUGGCCGGCUUCUCCGCCGGCUGCUGGGGCCCGCUGCCUAGUGGGCCCUGCCGACUGGUCUGGUACGGAGCCGACAAGCCGCCCCCGCCGCUCACGGGUCUUGUCGGGUGCUGAUCACUGUAGCCGUGAUGCUAAUGACGCAGGCUCGGUCACGGGAGUGUGGCUACAUCCCCGCCGCCUGGCGGCGAUUACUGUAGCCACUCUGUGUCUUGUCUGGUUAAUGGCGCGCGGGUCCCGAGGAAGGGGUGUGCCGACUGCUGGGGGCCGACCUCCCUCGGAUCCGACUGGUGGGGCUCUAGCCGUCUUCCGGGCUCUCGCUGAUCGGUGGGCCCAUCAUCCUUGGGCCGUACCGACAGCCCGUCGUGGGAGCAGGGCUCCGCCUGCUUGUGGUGACCUCAGGGGUGGAGUGGCAACAGUACCGCGCCGGGCGGAGAUCUCCGCCGGUACGGUGCAAUGUGGCCACGCCCAUCCCUGGAUUCGGGAGGGAUGGGCUAUACUGUAGCCACUCCCUGUCUUGUCUUUCUUGAUGAGGGCGCAGGCUUCGUGGGCGCCUCGGGCCGGCUGCUAGGGGCUGGCUUCUCUGGAAGCCACCUACUAGGAGUCGGCUUGUCUUGAUGCCGGCUUCUGGAACUCGGCCGUCUACGGGCAGCCGGCUAUCCCUCCAGCCGGCCACCAGAAGGCGGCACUUCGUCUUGGUGCUUUGAGGGGCGCAGCCAGCCCCGAUGUCUUGAAAGGUUCUGGGUCUCGGGUUAGCCUACCCGUGGCCCAUUACUCCGACAUCGCUCAAAAUAUAUUUCUCAAGCUGUUUUGAUGAGGUGAGGGAGGGAUGUGGUUGCUUUCAAGAUAAUAAGGGGUUUUCUGCAAAUUGGAGCAGAGAAGUGGGCUAUUGUUGCAAAAAUGCCCCAACUUACCUCACAGCCGUUAGAUGCAGAUCUAAUGGUUAGAAACGACGGAUGGCAGACACACCACCAUCACCAACUGCGUCUUUUAUAGGAGUAGGAGUAGAGAAAAAUGUAUAAAUUGUAACAUUUGGUUCUGCUCCUUGGCACGAUCGAUAGAUAGAAAUAACGAUUGGAAACGUUAGGGCGGGGCUAUUUCCACCAGAUAAGCAGGGUACAUAGUAGCUAGGUUGGCACAUCGUCGGUUUGGUCACAUGCGGUCCGACAUGUUCUAGUGUUUCUAGCAAGAUGCCCGUGCGUUGCACGAAGUUGAUGGAAAAGGUAAGCACAACUUAUAAAUUGACAGAUGGAGUACUAGUUACAGUGAUGCAUAAAAUUAAGCAAAGGGAUCGCACAUGUCGGUAUUGACAGGAACGAGAAUGCAAUAGCACAAUAAGAAUUAAGGCCACGAUGAUGCGAUCGUAGUGGUGAUUACAGGAGGCAAGAAGAAAGAUGCAUACAUCAAUGUACGACCUCCUCCUCCUCAACUUAGUGCGUCGGGCCACCGACCGGCGGCUUUUGUGGCGAGGUCAAGGUUCUUCUCAGCAAAGCCAUCCAAGGCUUCCAGCCGGUUGAGGAAGGCCAACAUCGUAUCAUCCUCAAUGGCCUUGUAGAUACCUAUGUACACGAUUUGCUCGUACAUGUGGAUGUGUAGGUCGCCGAAUUCUUGCAGGGCGAGGUGCCUUGCAGCGAGCGCGACUGAGGGAGUCCUGGACUAAGGGGUCCUCGGGCGUCCGGCCUGCUAUCCAUGGGCCGGACUGAUGGGUUGUGAAGACAUGAAGGCCGAAGACUGCACCUUGUCCGGAUUGGACUCUGCUUGGCGUGGAGGGCAAGCUUGGCGACCGACUAUGAAGAUUCCUUCUUAUGUAACCGACCCCAUGUAACCCUAGAUCUCUCCGGUGUCUAUAUAAACCGGAGAGCAUAGUCCGGAUAGCACACAUUCAUUACCAUAUACACAUAGGCUAGACUUCUAGGGUUUAGCCAUUACGAUCUCGUGGUAGAUCAACUCUUGUAACACUCAUAUUCAUCAAGAUCAAUCAAGCAGGAAGUAGGGUAUUACCUCCAGAGAGAGGGUCCGAACCUGGGUAAACAUCGCGUCCCCCAUCUCCUGUUACCAUCGAUCCUGGACGCACAGUUCGGGACCCCCUACCCGAGAUCUACCGGUUUUGACACCGACAUUGGUGCUUUCAUUGAGAGGUCCACUGUGCCGUCAGCAAAGGACUCGAUGGCCCCUUCGAUCGUCAGUAAUGGUGCCGUUCAGGGAGAAACCUUCCUCCCCGGACAAACCUUUGUGUUCGGCGACUUCGUGCUGCGGGCCAACUCGCUUGGCCAUCUGGAGCAGGUCGAUCGUCACGCCCCUGGCCGUCAGGUCAGAUCUAGAAGCUUGAACUGCGUCGCGGAUACUUGCGGAGACUUGAUCUUUGAUGGAUUCAAGACUGCGGCAGUCGCUCCCCCUCCCUCCGAUGAACAUGACUUAAAUAUGUCAUCGGAUCACACUCAGGAGAUGGACCUUGUUGCUGCAACGGCCUCAGAACCGAAGCAGACUGUGCCCUUCGAGGCCGUAAGGUCCACGGCGUUUGAGCCGCACACGGACUUGACAUCCUGCAAUACUUGCGUCAAUGGAACUCCGGACUCGUUUUCGGCUACACGUUCCAGAUCAGGCGCGCCUACAGACACCGAGCUGGAUCGGUUAUCGAUUUUCGAAUUUGGCGCCGCAGACUUCUUCCAGCACUCACCUUUUGGUGACAUGCUAAAUUCUUUAAAGAACUUAUCCUUGGAGGAGGACUCACAGCCGAACUAUGUUCGGUUCGAAUUAGAGAUGGAUGACGAGGAAUUUUGCUUCCAACACGCCACCCACUUCAUAGCCACCAUCGAUGACUUAACCGACGUGCUUGACUAUGGCUCCGAAGACAUCGACGGUAUGGACGACGAUGCCGAUAUGGAGCAAGGCCAAGACCCGCCAUUCACCGGACGUUGGACGGCUACUUCUUCGUACGACGUGUACAUGGUUGAUACACCAAAAGGAUCUGGCGACGACAACGAAGAGCCAGAUGUGAAUAAAACCUCUGAGACGCAGUCCAAGCGCCGAUGCCCCAUGCGCCGUUCCAAGCCUCGCCGCUCAAAAGAUAGCAAUACCGGCACCGGAGAAAAUAGUACUUCGGGCGACGCCGAAAACAACGAAGACCCUAUCGGAGCUACAUCCAAACAGGAGGAACACGACAGUAGGCAAGAUAACCCUGACGAACAGGCCAUAGAAGAUGACUCAGAGGACGAUAGUUACCGUCCGCCCUUCGAGGAGGAGACAAGCCUCGGCAAUGAAGACUUCAUUGUGCCUGAGGAUCCUCUGGAGCAGGAGCGCUUUAAGCUUCAGCUCAUAGCGACUGCGAGGAGCUUGAAAAAGAAACAGCAGCAGCUUCAAGCUGAACAAGAUCUGCUCGUCGACAGGUGGACUGAUGUCCUGACAGCCAAAGAAUACGGCCUCAGGCGCCCAACAAAGAGCUACCCAAAACGCAGAUUGCUACCUCAAUUCGAUGAGGAAGCACCAGAGCACACAUCUCCCUUGCGUAAUGCGGAACGACCACCAUGUAAGGCCCAGAAUGCGGCUAUAUCUCCCACGUGUCGAGGCACGACUUAGAGGCAUAACCGCAUUGUGGUUUUGUCGCAAGAAGGGUCAUCUUCACACAAUCCCAUGUAAUGAACAAGAAUGGGAUAAAGAGUUGGCUUACCAUCGCCACUUCACGCAAUACAUAAAUAUAAAUCAUACAUCAUCCAAAAUACACACAUAGACCGACUACGGUCAAGAUCCAAAUGAAAAUAAGAUAACCCCAAAUGCUAGAUCCCCGAUCGUCCCAACUGGGCUCCACUACUGAUCAUCAGGAAAAGACACAUAGUAACGACCACGUUCCUCAUCGAACUCCCACUUGAGGUCGAUCCCAUCAUCUGCACUGGCAUCGUCGGCACCUGCAACUGUUUUGGUAGAAUCUGUGAGUCACGAGGACUCAGCAAUCUCACACCCGCGAGAUCAAGACUAUUUGAGCUUAUAGGAAAGGAUGUUGAAAUGAGGUGGAGCUGCAGCAGGCACUAAGCAUAUAUGGUGGCUAACAUACGCAAGUGAGAGCGAGAAGAGAAGCAACGGAACGGUCGUCAUCUAGCAAUGACCAAGAAGUGAUCCUGAACUCCUACUUACGUCAUUCAUAACUCAAACCGUGUUCACUUCCCGGACAAGUUCUCUACAACCGGACAUUAACAAAUUCCCAUCUGCCUCAUAACCGCGGGCACGGCUUUCGAAAGAUAAUACCCUGCAGGGGUGUCCCAACUUAGCCCAUCAUAAGCUCUCACGGUCAACGAAGGAUAAACCUUCUCCCGGAAAGACCCGAUUAGUCGCGGAAUCCCGGUUUACAAGACAUUUCGACAAUGGUAAAACAAGACCAGCAAAGCCGCCCGAAUGUGCCGACAAAUCCCGAUAGGAGCUGCACAUAUCUCGUUCUCAGGGCACACCGGAUUGUCCAAGCUUCCGAUAGGCGAGCCCAGAGUUGCCCCUGGUGGCUACCGGCGACUGACAAGUUGGACCAAUACUCAGAGGAGCACUGGCCCGGGGGUUUAAAUAAAGAUGACCCUCGGGCUCGCGAAAACCCGGGGAAAAAGGCUUAGGUGGCAAAUGGUAAAACCAAAGUUGGGCCUUGCUAGAGGAGUUUUAUUCAAGGCGAACUGUCAAGGGGGUCCCAUAAAUCACCCAACCGCGUAAGGAACGCAAACUCAAGGAACAUAAUACCGGUAUGACAGAAACUAGGGCGGCAAGAGUGGAACAAAACACUAGGCAUAAGGCCAAGCCUUCCACCCUUUACCAAAUAUAUAGAUGCAUUAAUUAAAUAAGAGAUAUUGUGAUAUCCCAACAUAUCCAUGUUCCGAUAUGGAACAAACUUCAACUUCACCUGCAGCUAGCAACGCUAUAAGAAGGGCUGAGCAAAAGCGGUAACUUAGCCAAACAACGGUUUGCUAGGAAAGGAUGGUUAGAGGCUGACAUGGCAAUAUGGGAGGCAUGAUAUAGCAAGUGGUAGGUAGCGCAGCAUGGCAAUAGAGCGAACAACUAGCAAAGCAAAGAUAGAAGUGAUUUCGAGGGGUGGUCAUCUUGCCUGCAAGGUUCUCAGAGUUAUCGAAAGCUUGAUCCUCGUAAGCGUACUCAACAGGUUCCUCAUUCAUGAACUCGUCUCCUAGCUCUACCCAAGACAAGAACACAAGCAAUGGAACCACAAUCAAUCACGGGAAAUGCACAAGCAACAUGAUGCAAAACAUGAAUGAUAUGCAAGAUAUGGUAUGCGAUGCAUAUGCGUGCUCCGGAAGAAAAAUGAUGAACAAGGCAGUAACUUGGAAAACCAGGCAUGCCACUAGAAAGAUGUGAUGAUUUCGGUUGAAAUCGAUAUAAAGAUCACCGGAAACGGAUGCACGGUUUGCAAAUGGCAAGCAAAACAAGAAUGACGCGAAUCUGCGAUUAACAGCAUGAUAGCACUUAAAAGGCAACAAGUAACAAUGCUACAUCACAUCAACAUAGCAACAAAGCAUAUGGCAGUAAUCUACAGGAAAUGCUUGACAAAAGAUGAACACUGAGCUACGGCUAGAUCACAACAUAACAAGCUCAAACAAGCAUGGCAAAAGUGCAAAAGAUAACAGGUUCACAGACUUGGUGAAAUUACUGGACAUGGCAGAAAACAGCAUCAGGUAGCAAUGUUCAGAGCAUGAAAUCAACAUGCUACAGGAAGUUAACAUAGCAAAACAAGGCAUAGCAGUGUUCUACUAAAUACAUAUGACAAAAGUCCCUUACUGACCAUAAGCCAUAAAGGACUCGAAGAUAUGAUGGCAACCAUGUAAACAUAGCAAGUUUCGUUAUCAGGUUUCAGACUUGGUGAGCUUGAUGCACUCACCACAAAGCAAUGCAUGACACAACAAGCAUACCUACAGCAAUAUGGCAUGUUGAUGAAGCUAUCCAUGGCAAAAGCAAGUUCAUAGCAUGUAUGAAACAACUACAAUAAGCUUGGCAAAAUUGAAUAUCAUGUUAACAAUCUGCCAGAAAUAUUUUAUAGCAAAAGUAGAGCAAGCUUGAGUCAUACUAUGGCACUCCAAAAUUGCAAACAAGGGCAGGAAUGGAUCAAUUACAACAAUAUCUACAAAACAUCCUUACUGAACAUCUCCAAAAUAUGCAUGGAUCUCUCUGUAGCAUCAAGUUUACAUGGCAACAAAAUAACAGCAGACAAGGACUUAGAGAAAUCACUAAGUCCCUGAAAUCAGAAACAUUAUGGAGCCUAGUUUGCAUGCUUGUGCUAGUCACCACAGAGAUCAAAAAAAUACAUGGCAUACACCACUGGAAAGAUGGCAUGGCAUACAAGAAAACACAUGUAGAGCUCAUGCCCAUAAGGUGCACAGAUUAAAUGAUACAAAAAUAACAAUUCUCCAAGUUCUGAUAAGUAACAGCAGAUAACAGCAACUAGCACUCUUGCACCAGAUAUUUGGGCAUCAAGAUGGCCUCUAAUGAACAUGGUGCAAUUGAACAAAAUGUACAGCAUCACGAGGCGAACAAUUUGACAUAUUACACGCACAAAACGGAGCUAUAUGCAGAGAGUUAUGAUGCUAUGAACAUGGGCACAUGCUGAAAAAAUAAAAGACAGGAAAAAUUCGGGGUCUCGGGAAAGUCAACGCACGGUGCUCACCAGAUCCGAUCGGGGCCGGCUCGGCUCGGGCUCGUCGCCGGCGACGGGAGAGGAAGGGGCGACGGCGGCCGGCGUUGGGGGAAAGUGGAGGAGGCCGGAGAGGACGCGGGAUGGCGGCGGCGGCGGAGGGGGGCGCCGCGGCGUCGGGCGGACGGCGGCCUCGGGCGGCGANNNNNNNNNNNNNNNNNNNNNNNNNNNNNNNNNNNNNNNNNNNNNNNNNNNNNNNNNNNNNNNNNNNNNNNNNNNNNNNNNNNNNNNNNNNNNNNNNNNNNNNNNNNNNNNNNNNNNNNNNNNNNNNNNNNNNNNNNNNNNNNNNNNNNNNNNNNNNNNNNNNNNNNNNNNNNNNNNNNNNNNNNNNNNNNNNNNNNNNNNNNNNNNNNNNNNNNNNNNNNNNNNNNNNNNNNNNNNNNNNNNNNNNNNNNNNNNNNNNNNNNNNNNNNNNNNNNNNNNNNNNNNNNNNNNNNNNNNNNNNNNNNNNNNNNNNNNNNNNNNNNNNNNNNNNNNNNNNNNNNNNNNNNNNNNNNNNNNNNNNNNNNNNNNNNNNNNNNNNNNNNNNNNNNNNNNNNNNNNNNNNNNNNNNNNNNNNNNNNNCCUGGCGGGCCGCGGCGGUGGCGCGGGGACGGCUUGCCACGUGUCAGCGCGCGAGUGGGCGAGGGCGGCGGCGGUACGGACACGUCCGCCCGCGGAGAGGGAAGGGGACUAGGGUUGGACUGCGAAUGUUAUUCGGGAGGGAUGCAUUUAUAUAGCUAGAGGGAGCUAGGAGAGUCCAAAUGAGGUGCGGUUUUCGCCCACAUGAUUGUGAUCGAACGACCUACAGCAUGGAAGAGAGUUUGGUGGGUUUUGGGCUGUUUAGAGAGGGGGUUUUGCUGCAACACACAGAAGGCAUCUGCGGUUACCCGGUUAACCGUUGGAGUACCAAACGACCUCCAAAUGGAACGAAACUUGACCGGUGGUCUCCCGGUACUAUACCAAGGCCACUUGACAAGCCUCGGUCCAUUCCGAGGACGUUUGACACCCGCACAUGAAAGAAAACAAGAGGGGUGCGCCGGAGGAGGUGGGAGCGCCGGAUUGCAAAACGGACAACGGGGAAAAUGCUCGGAUGCAUGAGACGAACACGUAUGCAAAUGCAAUGCACAUGAUGACAUGAUAUGAAAUGCAUGACAUGGACAAAAUGCAAAACGAAAGACAAAACCUGACCACGAAGGGAAUAUCAUAACACAUAGCCGAAAAUGGCAAGAGUUGGAGUUACAAAUAUGGAAAGUUACAUCCGGGGUGUUACACACCACGUGGUCAAGACAGGGCGGCCGACCGGCCACCCCGUGGCCGGGAUAAAGCGGCAACUCAGGCCAAAAAGCAGCCUCCCCACAGCCUCGUAAAAAUAGAGACGGAAGAGUUCGGGGUCACACGUACGACCUCCGGCAGAUCCUGGACGAUAGAGCAGGACAUACAAGAUCGAUCUACGGAUCGCGAGGGCGUGCCUCGAGGCACGACGACGGCUACCUAUUAGGACGUGAUAAAUCUAACCACGCCCGGGCCGAAUACCGCAGCGGCUAUCACGCACUGCUCGGAUGAACCGCAUUUGCUAAAUUCAACGCAGUACCACACUAUGCUUAUCUCAAGCUUAAGAUGCCCGGUCCACGCGGCGUCAUAACAGUCAAUGGCAAUACGGAACGCUCCCUCCGAACAGAGGAGCACACCGCCGCCCUAGCAGCAGAAGUACAGAGCGGCCUUCUCAAGCAGCACCAUAGUACGGCUGCCGAGCCCUCGGACAUCAUUAAGAGGUCCCGGACUACACUGGAACAGGACGGCGCGGCUCGUCAAGAGCUCAACUAGCAAUCCAGCCUCCAUCCCAGUCCCAAUGAGGUAGUGGCAUUCGUACCACGCGUACACAGUUACGCACUCAAAAUUCCAUGGACAUCGAUGGAGGCACAAGAUAACCCAGGGUCUACAGCUUGGCCAGACAGAUCCCGGACACACAUACUUUUACCUUUCUCUUGUUUCAGGUUCCUUUUUCCACGGGCCUGAUCGCAAGUCCUUUAGAAGGAUUGGCAUACAACGGAGGCAAGCAGCACAGGUGUGUAGGGUAACCUUUAUACGUUCUUCUUGACGGUAUUCAUAAUUAUUUCACAGGACCCGCACGCUGCGCCCUACUGAUUCCGGCAUGUUAAAUAGCCCCGAUACUUCUUGCACCAUCUGUACAAGAUACGCCUUGACGUAUCCAUCCAGUUAUAAUAAAAAUGGUUCGUGGCCUAGUUUCUGUGGUUUUCGCUUCUUACUUCGUUUUAUUUCGAUCUACUUAUUUGUUGCAUCGGUACUCUUCUGUACGUUUCAUAUUCGCCAUGGGCUACUUAUCGCCCCGCAAUAUGGCAGCAAAGUCCGAACACUUCUUAUACAUAAGUUCGGCACCCCGAAUUUAGCAUUAUAUGCAUUGGCUCCGAAUCAUGUCUUUGGUCAAUAGUUGGGUUGCCUGGCUCCUGUGCUUGCUACCCUACGUUCCGCUCUAUCGGCUAGGGUAGUAAAGGGAGAACUACUGCGAUUGUGCCCUGGCCUCGAACGGAUGAGCACCUCAGUAGAGAAAGCCGAAAACUGACUGUCAUGAUACGGCGAGAGUCGGUCAGCUGUUCGAGGGUUACAAAAUCGUUGGAGAUUUUUUCUGCGUCAUGAUCGGCACUUCCCGAUGAGAUGCUGACAACACCCUGGCUUGGACCAAGGGCUGCGCAAUUGCUUAAUUAUAAAACUUCUAUGACUAAGUGAGGGCGUUUAAGCCAUACAGUCCGAUUGCCUUGUUCGUUGCACUAAACAACUCCUCCAAAGGACCAUAUAAUUGGAUCAAGAUUGUUUAGAAUCCAUCCCGAACACUGUCGGUGUCAAAACCGGCGGAUCUCGGGUAGGGGGUCCCGAACUGUGCGUCUAAGGCUAAUGGUAACAGGAGGCGAGGGACACAAUGUUUACCCAGGUUCGGUCCCUCUCGAUGGAGGUAAUACCCUACUUCCUGCUUGAUUGAUCUUGAUGAUAUGAGUAUUACAAGAGUUGAUCUACCACGAGAUCGUAGAGGCUAAACCCUAGAAGCCAGCCUAUGAUUAUGAUUGUUGUUGUCCUACGGACUAAACCCUCCGGUUUAUAUAGACACCGGAGGGGUCUAGGGUAACACAUAGUCGGUUACAAGGGAGGAGAUCUACAUAUCCGAAUUGCCAAGCUUGCCUUCCAUGCAAAGGAGAGUCCCACUCGGACACGGGACGAAGUCUUCAAUCUUGUAUCUUCAUAGUCCAACAGUUCGACCAAAGUAUAUAGUCCGGCUGUCCGAGGACCCCCUAAUCCAGGACUCCCUCAGUAGCCCCUGAACCAGGCUUCAAUGACGAUGAGUCCGGCGCGCAGAUUGUCUUCGGCAUUGCAAGGUGGGUUCUUCUCCAAAUCCCGAGUACCUGUCAUAACGAGUAGUGUCCGGCUUCCCAUGAAUGUUGCACUCCUCGGCUUCUGUGCUUUAAUAAUGGCUAUCUCCACGUGUCGAGCAAAUGCGAGAAGUCGGGGCAUUUUACAUUUGCCACCCUAACCAUGUAAGUAAAUCGUCUAUUUAAAGAGACAGGGAUCCUCAGAUCCAGAUCACACCAUCCUCCCACAGCGAGUAUCUGAUGACCCAUAAGUAUAGGGGAUCGAUCGUAGUCCUUUCGAUAAGUAAGUGUGUCGAACCCAACGAGGAGCAGAAGGAAAUGAUAAGCGGUUUUCAGCAAGGUAUUCUCUGCAAGCACUGAAAUUAUAGGUAACAGAUAGUUUUGUGAUAAGGUAAUUUGUAACAAGCAACAACUAACAAAAGUAAAUAAAGUGCAGCAAGGUGUCCCAAUCCAUUUUGUAGCAAAGGACAAGCCUGGACAAACUCUUAUAUAGAGAAAAGCGCUCCCGAGGACACAUGGGAAUUAUCGUCAAGCUAGUUUUCAUCACGUUCAUAUGAUUCGUGUUCGGUACUUUGAUAAUUUGAUAUGUGGGUGGACCGGUGCUUGGGUGCUGUUCUUACUUGAACAAGCAUCCCACUUAUGAUUAACUCCUAUUGCAAGCAUCCGCAACUACAAAAGCAGUAUUAAGGUAAACCUAACCAUAGCAUGAAACAUAUGGAUCCAAAUCAGCCCCUUACGAAGCAACGCAUAAACUCGGGUUUAAGCUUCUGUCACUCUAGCAACCCAUCGUCUACUUAUUACUUCCCAAUGCCUUCCUCUAGGCCCAAAUAAUGGUGAAGUGUCAUGUAGUAGACGUUCACAUAACACCACUAGAGGAGAGACAACAUACAUCUCAUCAAAAUAUCGAACGAAUACCAAAUUCACAUGACUACUAAUAGCAAGACUUCUCCAAUCUCCUCAGGAACAAAUGUAACUACUCACAAAGCAUAUUCAUGUUCAUAAUCAGAGGGGUAUUAAUAUGCAUAUAGGAUCUGAACAUAUGAUCUUCCACCAAAUAAACCAACUAGCAUCAACUACAAGGAGUAAUCAACACUACUAGCAACCUACAAGUACCAAUCCCAGACUUGGAGACAAGAAUUGGAUACAAGAGAUGAACUAGGGUUUGAGAGGAGAUGGUGCUGGUGAAGAUGUUGAUGGAGAUUGACCCCCUCCCGAUGAGAGGAUCGUUGGUGAUGACGAUGUCGAUGAUUUCCCCCUCCCGGAGGGAAUUGUCCCCGGCAGAACAGCUCUGCCGGAGCCCUAGAUUGGUUCCGCCAAGGUUCCGCCUCGUGGCGGCGGAGUCUCGUCCCGAAAGCUUGCUUAUGAUUUUUCUUCGGACGAAAGACUUCAUAUAGCAGAAGAUGGGCAUCAGAGGGCCAACAGGGGGCCCACGAGGCAGGGGGGCGCGCCCAAGGGGGUAGGGCGCGCACCCCACCCUCGUGGCCAGGGUGUGGGCCCCCUCUGGUAUUUCUUCCGCUCAGUAUUUUUUAUUAUUUCCAAAAAUAACUUUCGUGGAGUUUUUGGACUUUUGGAGUUGUGCAGAAUAGGUCUCUAGUAUUUGCUCCUUUUCCAGCCCAGAAUUCCAGCUGCCGGCAUUCUCCCUCCUUAUGUAGACCUUGUAAAAUAAGAGAGAAUAGGCAUAAGUAUUGUGACAUAAUGUGUAAUAACAACCCAUAAUGCAAUAAAUAUCGAUAUAAAAGCAUGAUGCAAAAUGGACGUAUCAACUCCCCCAAGCUUAGCCUCGCUUGUCCUCAAGCGGAAGCCGAUAAUGAUAAAUAUGUCCACAUGUUUAGAGGUAGAGGUGUCGAUAAAAUAAAAUACGGAUAUGAAGGCAUCAUGAUUAAUCUUAUAACAGCAACAUAUAUGGAUAUUGUCAUAUGAUUUCUUAUGUUCAAGUAAUAAUCUAUUCACAAUGCAAAGUAUGAAUCAGAAACUUUAUGGAGAACCAACAAACUAUAAUCUCAGUCAUUGAAGCAAUUGCAAUUUAUCAUAACAUCAGAAAGAGUCUAUGUCAGAGCUUUUUAGCAAGUCCACAUACUCAACUAUCAUUUAAUCUUUCACAAUUGCUAACACUCACGCAAUACUUGUGGUUACGGAGUUUUAAUCGGACACAGAGAAAGAUAGGGGCUUAUAGUUUCGCCUCCCAACCUUUUGCCUCAAGGGUAAUGUCAACAAUAAUAACUCAUGCUAACUUACAUCCAAUUAGAUAUAUAUAUAUAUAUAUAUAUAUAUCAGGAUCUUUCCAACAUACUGGGCUUGCCAAAGGAUAAAAUGUAAAAAGGAAGGGUGAAGAUCACCAUGACUCUUGCAUAAGGUAGAGGAUAAUAAUAAAAGAUAAGCCCUUCGCAGAGGGAAGCAGAGGUUGCCAUGCGCUUUUAGGGUUGAAUGCACAAACUCUUAAUGCGAAAGAACGUCACUUUAUAUUGCCACUUGUGAUAUGGACCUUUAUUAUGCAGUCCAUCGCUUUUAUUUCUUCCACAUCACAAGAUCGUAUAAAGCUUAUUUCCUCCACACCAAUCAAUCAUACAUUUUUGAGAGCAAUUUUUACUGCUUGCACCGAUGACAACUUACUUGAAGGAUCUUACUCAAUCCAUAGGUAGAUAUGGUGGACUCUCAUGGCAAAACUGGGUUUAAGGGUAUUUGGAAGCACAAGUAGUAUCUCUACUUGGUUCAAAUAAUUUGGCUAGCAUGAGGGGGAAAGGCAAGCUUAACAUGUUGGAUGAUCCAUGACAAUAUACUUUAUCUUAGAUAUAAGAAAACAUAGCCCAUUACGUUGUCUUCCUUGUCCAACAUCAACUCUUUAGCAUGUCAUAUUUUAAUGAGUUCUCCCAAUCAUAAAAGAUGUCCAUAAUAGUAUAUUUAUAUGUGAAACCUCUCUUUCUUUAUUACUUCCUAUUAAUUGCAACGAUGACCAAAACUAUGUUUAUCAACUCUCAACAAUUUUUAAUCAUCAUACUCUUUCUAUGUGAAGUCAUUACUUUCCAUAAGAUCAAUAUGAUCUCUUCUUAUUCUUUUUAUUCUUUUUCUUUUCUUUCAUUCACUCAAGAUCAUAGCAAAAUAAUCAAGCCCUCGACUUAACACUAAUCUUUAUUAUAUAGCUCACGGACUUGAUUACAUAGAGGGAUCAUAAAGCAAAACUAAAAAGAUCGAACUAAGAAAAAGGUAAAGAUAGGAGAUGUGGUGGUGAUACGAUACCGGGGCACCUCCCCCAAGCUUGGCAGUUGCCAAGGGGAGUGCCCAUACCCAUAUGAUUAUGUCUCCUUCCUCAGAAGUGGUGGUGAUGGGGUUGUUGAUGAAGUAGGCUUGUCGUCCAUAUUCCAAGGCAUGGGGUCACCAUCAUAGAAGGAUGAUCGAGUCUCCGGGAUCAUCCAAUCUGCAGCCAAACUCAUUCUCUUGAAUCUAUAUUCAUACUCACAGUUUUGGUUUUGCAGGUCAUAGAUUUGGGCUUGGAGGUGUUCGGUUUUCUCGUGAAGCUUGAAGAUGGCCUCCCCAAUGUCCUUGGCGUCUAGCUUGUGGUUGUUGGUGAACUCCGUGAUCAUUAUGUGAUUGGAGUCGAGUCUGCGCUCCACCAUCUCCUGGCACUUGAAAACUUGUUGCUCCAUUGCCUCGAGCCUUGUCUCCACGCUUCCGGUCUUCCUUGGUCCCUCAACAUCGCGGAUGUGCAGCACCCCCUAAUGCUUCUCAAUGGUUUGAGGGUGUUGCUGCACCUCCGUGAGGUAGGGGUUGAUGACCUUCUCGAAGAACUUAUCCUUGGGGGCACUUGGAGACGUCAUGAUGAUCUAGAUCUGUCAGAAAAACUACUCGAAACAAGAAUAGAGGACAAUUGCGUGAUACGGUGGUCAAAACCUUCGGGAGAUUAUAUAAUGAAUUUUUACCGACCAAAAUAUGUAUCGUGCAAGAAAACGGAGUCCGAAGAGCGCACGGGGUUCCCACGAGGCAGGGGGCGCGCCCAGAUGGGUAGGGCGCGCCCUCCACCCUCGUGUCCUUCCCAGACUGCUUCUUAUUUUUCUAUUUUUCUAAAUAUUCCAAAACAAAGAAAAAAUGCCAUUAGAACUGUUUUGGAGUCGGUUUACUUACCGUACCACAUACCAUUCCUUUUCAGAGUCUGAAACGUUUCAGAAAGUAUCCCUUAUCUAUUCCUCCGGGGUCAUGGUUUCAAUAACGUUGGUUUCAACAUUUAUGGGAUUACUUGAGAUAUAAUGUUUGAUUCUUUGACCGUUCACCACCUUCGGAUUUGUGCCUUCGAAGUUGUUGAUUUUUAUGGCACCGGAACGAUAGACCUCCUCGAUGACGUAAGGACCUUCCCAUUUAGAGAGAAGUUUUCCUGCAAAAAAUCUUAAACGAGAGUUGUAUAGCAAUACAUAAUCACCUACAUUAAACUCACGCUUUUGUAUUCUUUUGUCGUGCCAUCUUUUAACUUUUUCUUUAAAUAAUUUAGCAUUCUCAUAGGCUUGGGUUCUCCACUCAUCAAGUGAGCUAAUGUCAAAUAACCUCUUCUCACCGGCAAGUUUGAAAUCAUAGUUGAGCUCUUUAAUGGCUCAAUAUGCCUUAUGUUCUAGUUCGAGAGGUAAGUGACAUGCUUUUCCAUAAACCAUUUUAUACGGAGACAUACCCAUAGGAUUUUUAUAUGCAGUUCUGUAGGCCCAUAAUGCAUCAUCUAGUUUCUUGGACCAAUUCUUUCUAGAUCUGUUAACAGUCUUUUGCAAAAUUAAUUCGAGUUCUCUAUUACUCAGUUCUACUUGACCACUAGACUGCGGGUGAUAAGGGGAUGCAAUUCUAUGAUUAACAUCAUACUUAGCAAGCAUUUUACGGAAAGCACCAUGAAUAAAAUGUGAACCACCAUCAGGCAUUAAAUAUCUGGGGACUCCAAACCUUGGAAAAAUAACUUCUUUAAGCAUUUUAAUAGAAGUGUUAUGAUCAGCACUACUAGUUGGAAUAGCUUCUACCCACUUAGUAACGUAAUCAACAACAACUAAAAUAUGUGUAUAUCCAUUAGAGGCAGGAAACGGUCCCAUAUAAUCAAAGCCCCAAACAUCAAAUGGUUCAAUAACAAGUGAAUAAUUCAUAGGCAUUUCUUGACGUCUACUUAUAUUACCAAUUCUUUGACAUUCAUCACAGGAUAUGACAAACUUACGGGCAUCCUUGAAGAGAGUAGGCCAAUAAAAACCGGAUUGCAAUACCUUAUGUGCAGUUCUAUCUCCAGCGUGGUGUCCUCCAUAAGCUUCGGAGUGACACUUGCGUAGGAUCUGUUCCUGUUCAUGCUCAGGUACACAACGUCUAAUAAAACCAUCUACUCCUUCUUUAUAAAGAUGUGGGUCAUCCCAAAAGUAAUGUCUCAAAUCAUAGAAGAACUUCUUUUGCUGGUAUGUGAAACUUGGUGGUAUAAAUUUGGCAACAAUGUAAUUAGCACAAUCAGAAUACCAUGGAGUAGUACGAGAAGCAUUUAUGACAUUUAAUUGUUCAUCAGGAAAGCUAUCAUCAAUAGUUAGUGGGUCAUCAAGAACAUUUUCCAACCUAGACAAGUUUUCUGCAACGGGGUUCUCACCUCCCUUUCUAUCAAUAAUAUGUAAAUCAAAUUCUUGUAGCAGGAGAACCCAUCUAAUAAGUCUAGGUUUAGCAUCUUUAUUUUCCAUAAGAUAUUUAAUAGCAGCAUGAUCAGUGUGAAUAGUUACUUUCACUACAAAAAAAACACUUCCGUGAUGAUACGUGUUUGUCACAGUAGGUCGCGUUUUUUGUCAUGCAUGUACAUCCAUGACGAUUUUAUGACAGAAUCAAGAUAGUCAUACCUGUGCUGUCGUAGAAGUGUUCCAUGACAUUACCAAAAUUAUCAUCACGGAAGUGCCCACUUCCAUGACGAUAAAUCGCGCAUCACAGAAGUGCUUUCGUCAAGGGUGACCGACACAUGGCAUCCACCGUAACGGAACGCCGUUAAGCUAUCGGGUCGGAUUUUGGAUCCGAUAACCCGUUAACAGCCUGGACCAAUGGGAAAUUUCCAUGUGUAAAAUUCUGAUUGGCCGAAGGGAACACCUGUCAGCUCGUCAGUGGGCCAGAUGUCGCCCGUCCAUUGGAGGAGACAUGCCUAUGAUACGUCGACACGUGGCUGGGCCCAACAGAGGCCCAUAUUGGUUAAAAAGGCCAGCCCAGUCAAAGGCCCGUAGAACUUAAUCAGGUACUAGUGGGCCAGCCCAAUAACGGCUUGCUUAAUAAAGUCCCAUUUACGGCCCGAAGCCAGAUCUGGCCCGUUAAUUGUUCGCCCAAUAUUUGGGCCCAUUUACGGCCCGAAGCCAGAUAUGGCCCGUUAAUUGUUCGCCCAAUAUUUGGGCCCAUUUGCGGCCCGAAGCCAGAUCUAGCCCGUUAAUUGUUCCCCGAAUAUUUGGGCCCAACUACAGCCCAGUGACUUUCGGCCUGUUAGAGGCCUGAUGUAGACAUGGGCCCAUUUCAGCCCGGUGUGACUUUCGGCCUGGGAAUGGCCCGUGCUACCCAUGGGCCAUAUAUGGUUCGAUGGGACAUCGGGCCCACUAACGGCCCAUGCUAAAGGUGGCAACAGUUAAGCCCAACGUGACUUUGGGCCUGUUAAAGGCGUGUCGCGUAAUUCGGCCCGUUGAUGCCUGUGCUAAGCUUUCGGCCUCUUAAAGGCCCAUGAUAUUAGUGGGCCAACUAAGGCCCGAGAUAUGUUUCGGCCUGGUAACGGCCUGUGAGCUAACUGGGCCCAAAACGGCCCGGUCUACAUUUCGGCCUGCUGAAGGCCCGUCGACGACUAGUGAAAAUUGAGACCCAACAUGCAUUUUGGCCUGCUAAAGGCCCGUUGUUUCAUCUCGGCCGUAACAGGCCAGUACAAUAUUCAGCCUGUUAAUGGCCCAACGCUACCUGGGCCAAACUAAGCGCUGGGUCGACAAAAGCCCAACUAAAAUAUAGGCCGGUGUAAGUUUGGGCCUUGCGCAAUGUGUGAAGGCCCCAAUCAUUCGGGCCCAAGAAAGACGCAGGCCGGCCCAAUUGUGGCCCGCUAAAAACCUGGCCCGUCAGAGUCGAAUGUUUCGGUCCGGUCGACUACAUUUGAUUUUUUUUCAGAUAGCGAAUGAUGGCAGUAACUAGUAGGAAUUAAGAACAAACCUACUCUAUACAAUAAAUAAAUUACGGCAUAGUAACUAAGAAUAAACCUACACUAUACAAUAAAGGAUUUAAGGUAUAUUACAUCCACUGGGCAUCAAAGUUCGCCACCAGUGAUCAUAAAGCGCAAUGAAGAAGCAGAUUACAAAAACUGGGCACCAUUGCAGCGUAACAAAAUAAUACUGAACCGAGACCACUUCCAAGACAGUUCAAGAAAGGUUAGCCUUGCGGGGGAACUGCUGCGCAAGCUGCUGAGCAAGGCUGUGAGACCGGCCUAGCAUGUCGGUCAUAGCUUCCAGGUGUAGCUGUUUAGCGAUGAGGUUCUCAUUGGUGUUCUCCGCAAUCUUUCUUAGAGAUAGGACUUCAAGUCGAAGUUGAGUUGCAGAAUGCCUUUCUGCUAGAACUUGGGACUGAAGAAGUCGAACUAAUUCAGAUAACGAAUUCUGUGAGCUUGUCUGACUGUUAGUCUCAAGUAACUUGAUAACUGCAUCAAGACAAGACUUUGGGGUUGUCUUGCCAUCUUCGAAAUGUUUUUCCUUCUUUGCUGCAAUAUAUGUUGGGUUUGUCUCACAGCCUUCAGCAGACUUGUGCAUGCCAUCAGGCAUAUCACCCUGAAACAAAGCAGAGAGAUGACAGGUUUGGCACGUGUAUAAACAAAGAUGAUAACUGUUCUGUCAAUUCUAUCCAAUUUCAAGUUAGAAAAUAAAGAGUAAGUUCAAAAUAUCAAUAACAUAAUUUGGCAUUGUUCAUAAUGCGGGGAGCUUCACCACACUACUUGAUUACCAUGUCAACAUAACAAGCAUAGAUGAAGGGCAAAGAAAAUCAUUGUAUCUAUUUUGGAUAAUGUGCAUGGCAUGUUGUUCAUAUCAUCAGCCACAUCAGUAAGAUAAAACAGGAGAUGACAAGGUGCAAACGUGGGCUGCUUCACCACACACUGGAUUAUAGAUCCAUAAAAACAAGCAUACAUAUAGGGAGUAUUAAGUAAUGUGCAUGGUAUUAAUAAGGAAUUUGGUUUUACAAGUAAAACUUAGAACUUACGGUUCUUACGAACAUGCAUUUUGGUAGAAACAGCAAACUAAACAGCAGUAAACGAUAGGGAGUAUGAGCAAAUUAAACAGCAGUUGAUGAUAAAGGCUCUAGAAGGACUGACUUACAUUAACAGUUAACACCGGGUUUAUAAUGCCCUUCUCCAUGUCAAGGGAAGGAUAACUCAAGAAUUUCAGCACAUAAUCUUCUUCAUAAGCAUUGCCUGUACUCUACAUUUUGUAGAGAGUAAUUAUAGAUAUGAUAAUACUGGAAGGGAUAGAGGAUAAUGAAGAUAAGAUGCAGAUUGAUGCUACAUAAUCAACUACCAAUCCUUGGAAGUACAAGCGUUACAGGACAAAAUGUACUGACAAGAGCAAUGGGCUACACUUCUGCACUGGCAUUGUCUGUGUACUCUACUUGUUGGUAAGAUUAAAUAUAGAUCUGAUCUUUUUUAGUAAAUGGUGGGCGAGGGAGAUAAGAUGCAGAAUGCUACAAAAUGAACCAAUCCCUCUUCCCAUAAUACAAGAGUGUUUUGAACACUGGUGUACUGUACAAAACGUUCUUACAUUAUGGGACGGAGGGAGUAGCUGUUAAUGUAAGUACAGUGGUAGACCACGUUCAGUCCUUACAAGAGGACUGCAGAGCUAAACCUCUUCAAAAGCAUUGGGUUGAUUCUAAAUUUAUGUAAGAGUCCAUACGGAUCUUAUAAUGUCCACCAAAUGGACGAUUACGAGGCUAACAUGUGCAGUGAUGCUACAUAAUCAAACAACUAUGAAAGUAAGUAUGGUCAUACAGGGCAAGAGGUACUCACAAGAGUAAUGCAGUGUGCAGUAUAGUUGCGAGAUUCUGUGGUCCCUUGAGAACGAAUGUUCUUCUGCUAACAGUUUUCGUACAAGUGAGACAUUAAGGCAAAUGCAGAAAUGUAGUUCAAAUUGUGAUGUGAUAUCAUAGACAGUACCUUACGCUGCAGCCGAGACCAAUGUGUAACAAGAUUAUUCCAAUCACCGUCGGAUAAAUGUAGCACUGGAGACUUUACAAAAAUUUCGUUCAGAAGCUUGCCAUCGAAGUGCGCUUGCCUCAGGUAGGAAUGAUACUUCAUCAACGAGUGCUUGAAAAGCGCAACCAACCCUUGCUCGUCAUCACAAUCCAGUUUGCUCCUCGCCUAUUUAAAAUAAUGAAAUCUUGUGUCUUCUGUCAGCAGAAACAUAUGCAGUAAUGACCAUGAAUAACAUUAGUACAUUACUUACGCGUAAGUUGUGGAGGAAGACUGGAAAUUGUUCCGUGUCUGCGGUAUAAUCUUUCCAUGAAGAAAAGAUGCGCACAAAGUUCCUGACAACAACAUAAGCUUCGUCUUCUAAACUGGGAAGAAAUGGAACAGGGGUCCUAUUUGCUGCAAUUGGGCUCUCUCUGGCUUGAAAAGGGAUUUGGCAACUGGAUUUGGUCUACUCUUUGCUGGAAUGGGGUUUUUGCGUCGUACAGCUGGUGCUAUGUCAACUGGCAUAAUCAUACCGUUUGCUUCAGUUGGGGUCUGCUGAGUUGGGGCAUCAGAAAUGACCAGUGUAGUAGGGCUAGAGUCUGCUAGAGUUGGGGUAUUUUGUGGGUCAGGUGAUAUUGCAACUACACCUAAUGGGCUAUUUGAUUUAUCAGGUGCCUCUACCUUUUCCAAAUACUUUGCUUGUGCUCCUCCACAACCAGCAAUCACCCUCUUCCUUUUGAACGUCUGAUACACAAGAACAUCAUUUGAAUGGAUAAAUAUGGUAUGAUGACAGAUGGAAUAUGUACUGAAAAUGGAUAGGCAGGGCGUAUUCACAUACACGAUGUGUAAACUAAGCUAAUGGCAGUUCAACAAAGUAGAAGCAAUGCAAAGCAUCAGUUGCAAGAUAUGUGCGAGCAAUGUAACCUUGGAAAGUUAGAGGAAGUACCUUGAUGGGUGAAUAAGAUAGGGCAUCUUCCUCUGACUCCUCCACUAGGGAGCUACAUUGACUUAGGUCUCCCUCUAGCUCAGAAUCACUAUUAGGAUCAUAUUCUGAGCAUGAAUCUAUAGGUGGAGAGCGUUUGCAUUGCAUUGCAUCCAGACCUGAUUUCAGUCCCUUAAUGCCAAGUUUGACAGCCAUGGCAUUGUUCUGCUUUAUUCUUUUCAUGCGCGCAAGCUCAUAAUCAUUAUGAUGUUGUUCAGAAUCUGAGAUUCAUGAAAACAUAAAAAGUAGUCAGAUUAUCUAUGGAAUGCAUUGCGGAUUCAACUCGGAGAGUGUCUCCCUAUAAACCCCUGCAUAUGCAAAGUUCACCUCCCCAACCGUGCUGACCAGACCACACACAGAAAUACAAACCCCUUAUGUCUCUAUAAUAGGCAGGCACACAUUUCAAAACUGAAGUAGGAACAUUAGAAUCAUAUGAAAUUCGUAUUUGAACAAAUAAACUAAGCAAUUAUGAGUGGCGUAAUGUUUAGCUUCAAGGGUGGAGUGUUGGUAGUGCGACACAAAGCAAGUAGGCAGAUUGUAUUCCAUGUAAAAGAUCGAAACCUAUGUAAAAGCUGGAAAUGACACUUUCUUUCUAUAUAAUGCAGUGUUCGUUACCCACACAUGAUGGAAGAGAUCACAUAGAGAAAUACUAUUCACUCAUGUCUACGGUUCUAGUAUUUAGAAACAGGGUGGUCCACCCUAAAAGAAUAUUGACAACAAAUAUGACAAGGCAAGCAUAGAUGUAGUGAAUCAAUCAUUUACUUGUGAGCUUACUAGGACAAGUAUGCAGAAUUGUAACUGCAGUAAGAGACCGUCCAAAAUCUGAAUGAAGAAGUUUGUCUAGACUUAUUGUUUGCAACUAAUCGACGUGAAUAAUUGGAUAUUAUAUCGAAUGAGUAAGAAAGACAAGUAAAGUUGUCAACAAACCUGGCUUGCAGUAGUAAUCUGGGUCAAUGUCACUACGACCAACAAUCCAAAAUGACUAGUUUCUGUUCCGAGGGCCGGAAUUUUGAAAACCCUGUGAACUUUAGAGGUACUAAAGAUUACCGAAAUACAUCUGAACCAUUAAGUGUAGGUAGCACUGAGCACACAACAAACCCUAAUGACAGUCCUGCCUAAUGAGUAAUGAAUCAAUUAGAAAAUGGGCGAUGAGGAGUGGCUGCUGAGUGUUGAGGACGUAUCUCAGGAUAAAUCGGGUUGGCUUGGUGGGUGCUGCACGCCUGAGCCCUGAACGGACUGGGAAGGUAGGCACGGCGACGCGCCCGGGCAGCGGUGACGCUGUUGGGCGAGCGGCUCCUGGCCUCCUGUUAGUCCGGCAUCUCCUCCUAGAGUCAUGCCGUCCGGGGACGGCAAGUCGCCGGCGAGGCAGGCGGCUGGGGGCGAGUAGAGAUCGGAAGCGCGCAGCAGAACAGAGGGGAAUCGGGGCCUAGGACGACCCAAAAUCCCAGGAUGGGCCGGCCCACCGUGGGCACCCUGUAGAGAUACACACCCGAGCGGCGAACAUGCAUUUUCUAAACUAAUUUAGGAACAUUUAGCUGACCAAUUAAACAACUCUGUUUUAAUAAUAUCAGAUUCGUAUUUGAACAACUAAGCUUGUUUAGCUUGAUGGGUGGAGCAGUGUUAUUAUGACACGAAGCACGUAUUCUGAUCGUAUAGUGAUCAUAAAACGGGGAAACUCUAAGCAUAUUUUUUUAGCAAAAGAGGGUUUCCCCUCCGAUUUCUAUUAAAGAAACCACCACGGAACCAACAUGAUCAAUUAAACCCUAAGCAUGAUCAAUUAAACCGUAUUAUGGCUGUGCCAUGGCAGAUUUGAAGCUGCAAACCGGAGAAAUGAUAUUUAGCAUCCAUUGUUUGCUUCGAACUAAGAACUAAAUUCUAAGAGCUGAAAAUAAAGUAGAGUAACUAAGUUAAGAUCUAUUUUCUGGUUGAGAUCAAAAAGUUGAGGAGAUAUGAAGUACCACCUCUCUUGCGGCGCCGUGUAGGCAUCGGGGGUGCGAUGGCUGUCGGUGGCGUUGAAGCAGAUCUGUGAUGGUAGACGGGUGCAUCGGGGGAUAAGUCCCGUUGCGGUGGAAGAGAAGGUCGUGUGAGCGGCCCCGGCAAAGAGGACGACGACGCCGAUGAAGCGAGAGGACGCGAUGCAAGGCUAUUAAUCCAUCGCCGUGGAUGAGAAACAUCCAUCUCUAGCAGUGGACGACGCGGUCUUGGUAGGCGCUCCGGCAUGGUGGAGGACGGUGGCGAUGGAUGUGGUGGAGGACGGCGGCGAUGGAUGGGGUGGCGGGCGGAGGCUGGUGUGGGGAUGGGGUGUUCUAGCGCGGACGGUGUAUGAAUGGGAAGAUGGAGGGAGAGGUACGGGGAACCAUGUUUUUGGGACGCGCCUGUCUGAAAUAUGGGAAAGUUAUGAACUUAGCCCCCGUUUAAAAUUUGGACGUCUCGUCGGUUGGGGAUAGGACGGUAAUCUCGCAUCUCGCCAAUAUUUGCCAAGAGCGAUUUCGGGCGUGGAGAGGGUGGUUGGCGCCCAUGGUUGGCGCCCACGGUGUAUGAACGGGGCUGAGAGGUAGGGCGGUUGUGUCACGUCUGAGUGAAGUUACAAACCUGCCCCUAUUGAAAAUAUUUGCCUACAUCGAUUUCGGCCGAGUCGAGUUUGUUUUGCCGCCCACCGUGUAUGAAUGGGGAAUGGAGGGAGAAACAGAGGUCUUUCGGACGAGCUUGAAUCAAAUGAGUUUUGCCGCCCAUGUUUGACGCCCACCGUGUCGGAAUGGGCUCAGGGGCGGUCGUGUCACGUCUAAUUGAAGUUACUAACCUACCCCUAUUCAGAGCAGUGGAAAUCGGGCCGAUGGAUUGUCCGUGUAAUGGGUAGACAGUAAUUUCCAUCUCCCAAACACUUGGCUUCGGGCAGCCGACAUGGGAGUGGACAUUUUGCUGCUUCUUUCUAAUUUUUGGACAAUAAGCAUCCACGUUUAACCUGGCAACUGAAUUCGAAUCCAUUUCGUAUUCCUAUAUGAAUCUUUAUAAAUCAUUCUAUGUGUUUUUAUAUAUCUUCAAAAGGACGACAAAGAUGUAUUCCACUGUCAUAUAUGAAUAUGGUUUACAAAUGCCGAUACUCAAAUUCAGAAACUAGAAUCCAGUUUAAGGUGAAUUCGAAUAUUUGGAACACUUCAUGUCCAACUCAAAUGUCACACGCAGCAUAAUGUGUACUCCCAUUUAGAUAUGUACACAAGCGAUGUAUCAAGAUUCAAAUACCGAGUCAAUCAACCAAGAAUGUACAGAACUAACAGACAUAUAAACACUUAUAGAGUAUAUGGAUCAAUAAUAUCAACUAACAUACAUAAGCCAGGCCGCUGUACUUUUUUUGGCUACAAUAGCAUCCUUUUUUUAGCCAGCAUCUUGGCCCUUUCCGAUGUGUGCCACUUAUGGUCCAUCUAUACUACCACUAUUGCUGAAUGCACAUUCAGCCUGAUUGGCAUAUUUGUAGGUCUGGCACAGCAAUCCAAAUGAAAUGUCUCCGAGUCUUAUCAAUUAAUACAGACUUGUGCUCAAAUAAAAUUACAAACCAAAAAACAAAAAAAAAC